RNAcentral lists this long non-coding RNA (60625 nucleotides) under Daucus carota (carrot). RNAcentral describes it as "long non-coding RNA (DCAR_LNC003191)". Lineage: Eukaryota; Viridiplantae; Streptophyta; Magnoliopsida; Apiales; Apiaceae. The record is from RNAcentral.
AGGGGACGGAGGGAGUCCUGUACUUCAUUGGAUUCCAAGUCUUGAAAUUAGACCUGAGGAUGCCAAUCAAAUGAUUAAGGUUAAUGUUUACUUACAAUGAAUAAAAAGUACUCAAGUCCAGCUUAGUCAAACAUAUAUGAGAUCUUGUGCUUUUAAUUCUGAUACAAAGUUGUGUAUUUUAAGUCAUAUCUAGUUUUACAGCAAGCUUAGCAUACCCCAAAGAAAGGUGAAAUCUUGUUACGUGAUGUAAUUACAAUUUUGAGACUUCCUCCAAGUCACAUCAGCAUUACAUAUGAUACUGAAUUUAAGUUACAGCUGGACUCCUUCUAAUUUCUCUAUAUAACUGAUUUACUUACCCCUUUAGAUGCACUUAUACAGAGAAGAACGUCAAACUUGGGACAAUGCUGGACCAUGUUGGUAAAUCGAUGACCUCUAUUGAUCUUUUUUGUUAAAUGCAAUUUGGCAUAAUUCUCGAAACUAACUUGAUGUUUUCUAUUAGUUCACCAUCUCUAUGCUAUAAAGAUAGUAUGGUUUCUUUCCUUGGUACACAAACCUAUUGAUUUUAUAGUGAACUUCAUAGUUUCUGUGGUGUAUACUGCAGAAGCUUUUAGUCUUUUGGCUGUCCGAAUCGAGAUAGGUUGCUUCCCAUAAUUUUUUUUUUCUCCACUUAAAAGCAGAGUUGGUGCUUCUUCGUUCACAACCUGGACGAAUAUGUUCAUUGUUCAAGAGACGCUAUAUUACUUUUAAUUUGGAAUAUGCAAGUAGUUGCAGUACUUCUUUAAAGAAUUGUUCUCCUCUGAAUGGGAUUCUUGGAUAUAGCCUACUUAUGUUUCCGUGUAUUCUAUUCAAUGUCAUGCAUACGGAAAAAAGAUGCGGGUUUUUGUACAACUUACUAACCAGAGCAAUUUUGUGAGUUAUGAAUGUUUGAUCCUAGCACAAAAUAGUUGGGGGAGGAUUGUGGGAUGACAAAACAUAUUCUCUAGUCAUUGUUGCUUGCAGAAUUUCCGGUUCAAAUUCUUUGGGAGAUGCUCAUGUUUGGGGAUUGUUCAUUUCGGUUAAGCAUAUAUUACCCUAAAGUAUUGUCAAUUAAAUUCAGGACAGAUUUGGACAAAUAAGACUGCACAAGAUGUAGGGUUCUUUGGAAUGAUCAAAUUCAGGACUUCUGACACAUACAAGUUAUGCUUAAAGAAGUCUGUCACAAGGAGAGAGAGAUUCCCAAAAGGACAGUCUUAUGAUGUGUAGUUUGGCUUGUCUGUGCAGAACUCAAAGAAUUUCAUUGGGGUUCUGCAGAACCCAUCUUCAUAGGCAAUGAAUCGUACAUAGUAAAUUUAAGAUGGGGAGGCCAUGGUAAACUUGCAGAAUCCGAGGUUGAGACUGAAAAUGUGGUUUUGGAUAACGCUCCAUUGAACGUCUGCUACAAGUUAAAUUUUUAAUGGACGGGUGAUUUUAAAUUGGGGGCUGACCAUUCUUCACUGAAUGCAUAUUUAAAUUCAUACGGGCAGCUGGUUAUCUCUGCUGAAGGAGUUUAUGAUGCUGGAACAGGGUACCUUUAUAUGGUUGGCUGUAGAAAUCUCGGCUCCAACUAUUCGCUGGACUGUGAUAUAUUACUGAGUUUUCAGUUUCCGGGAUCAGUCAAGACUAAAGCUGGUUUCAUAAAGGGUAGAAUGCAAAGCACAAGGAAACAAAGUGACCCUAUUUUCUUUGGGCACUUGAUAUCAUCUGCUUUCUCUAAUAUCAUCCUCUUUCUCUACUUUUGAGGCAAAACGAUCCCUAUGAAGGAUUGAUCUAGAGAUCACAAAUGGUUUUGAUCUCGAAUACACAUUCAUGUGUAUUUGUUUCUUUCCAACUUUCCCAUGCAAAAAAGUACCCUGAUACUGGUCCUUAUAUCUCAUUGUUGAUGCUCGUGAUACUUACAUUGGGGCACAUGGUCCCUCUUGUGUUAAACUCUGAAGCAGUGUUCAUGGCAGAGCACAAUACAAUAUAUACAAUGGUAAGUAGUUUUGUAUGGCUAGAAGUGAAUGAAGUGAUUGUAAGAGUAGCUACAAUGGUGGCCUUCCUCUUUGAAUUUCGUCUCCUCCAAAUAGCCAGGACUGCACGACAUACCGGUAAUUGUAACGAGCCGGGUUUAUCAGUUGCUGAAAAAGACUUCAUUAGUUUCUUUACCAAUGUACAUUUUUGGUGUGUUGGUUGCUUUUCCUGUGAACUUGGAGAAGAAUUACUAUGGCAGUGCACCUCGUGUACACGACUAUUUACAAGCACGGCGCCAACAACUUACCCUUUGGGGGGAUUUACAAUCAUAUGGUGGCCUAAGACUAGAUGGCUUUCUCUUCCCUCAAGUCUUGCUCAAAAUAUUUCAGAUGCCAAGUGAAAGUGCUCUGUCUAUGCCUUUUUGAACAACAUUGGUUCAUUUGUUACCUCAUGCCUACAAUCUUUAUCGACCCAGCAACUACGUUCCUCCACAUGUCAGUGGUACGUAUCUUUAUUCAAAUCCUGGUACAGAUUUUUACUCUGCUGCUUGGGAUAUUAUCAUUCCACUAGGAGGUUUGUUGCUUGUUGGAAUCAUAUUUUCGCAGCAAAGAUAUGGUGGCCGAGUUAUCCUUCCUAAGAAAUUCAGGGAGUUGGAAAUGUAUGCAAAAGUGCCAGCAAUUAGUACCUAAUGCUUAAUGACGAUGUUGCUUAUCUGGUUCAGUAAUUUCUUAAUGUAUGGUUGCUGCAUGUGUGCUUUUAAUCUAUCUCAAAAUGAUGUUUGUUUCUUAAUAUUGGUAAUUUUAUUGCAUUUCCGGUCAUUUCUACAUGACCUUUGUUCGCUUUUGGAAUAAAAAAUUUCUUUUACUUUCUUUGAUCAGCGUAUCUUGAUGUUUCUUUCGAGUAUUUUUUUUUCAAAUGUUUAGGUUUUAUAUUUAAAUUUCUGUGGGAUAUUUUUGCAUACUCUCUGAUUAGAUAAAAGAUUUUCAUAUAUGAAAAAAGCUUAUCUUUUUGAUAUUAUAUUUUGGCACAAUUUAUUGACGUAAAAAUCUUAUGGAAAAAAUAACAAUAAUAUUUGAUGAAUUGUAGCACAAGGAAUAAGAAAGCUUGAUUUUUAUGCUUAAUUGAUGUAAAAUCUUAUAGAAUUGACGCGAAUGUAGUCGGAUUUUGGCAUAUUUUUUCUAAAAUCUUGUAGAUUUUUGAGAGAUUUUCAAAAUUAUAAAAUAUACUAGUAAAAACAUCAAAAAUCACUAUUAUGAUAAAGAAAAAUUUAUGUCUUUGGUUGAGUAUCAUCAAUUUUUAAGAUAUUUAAAAUUUUAAUUCAAUAUCAUGAGAUUUUAAAAGAUUAUUUCUCAUCCUUGUUUAAUAUCAAGGGAUUAUAAUCAAUUUUUUUAAUAUUGGUUAAAUAAUUUUGAGAAUAACGUGAAGCAAAUAUAUCGUUCAAAUAAUCAAAAUAUUGAUUAUAUAUUUUAUAAAAAUCUCAAAAAAAAUUAGAAAUUUCUAAAAUUAUAAAAUAUAUUAAUAAAUCUAUUGGAAUUCUCUAUUAUAAAAUUCUAAUGAAAACAUCACUUUUCAAGCGAGUGUAUCCGAUUAGGAUUUUAAAUGAUUUUUUUUAAUUUAUCAAAUAUGAGAAUAUUCAAUUAGGAUUUAUUACAAUCCAUUAAAAUCUUGGGAUAUUUAAUUGUAAUUUUAAAUUAUCCUACAAAAUCUUGUAGUAUUCAAUGAGUUUAUAUAGAUUAUUCAGAAUUCAAGUAUAAAACUUCAAAAUCUCAUUAAUUUUUCUUGGGAUUUCAAAAAACUUAAAAUACAUUGAGAAAUCCUACAAAAUCUAUCAUAAAUUCAAAAAAAAAAUAUCAGCAUUUAAAUAUUAUUGAUUUUAAUAGAUUUUAAACCAUCUCAAUCGAAUACCAUCUGAUUUUAAGCAUAAUUUAAAUUUCUAAUUGAAUACCACCAAAUUUUAUAAAAUAAAAUAAAAUCCUAAUUGAAUAUACAAAGAUUUUAAUAAAUUUUAAACUAUUUAAUUAAAUAUUUUCAAAUUUCAUGAAUGAAUUUUUUUUUUAAAAUCUAAAUCGAAUAUAGUCUUCGGUAAAAUAAUUAUUGAUAACGUAUCUGAAUUGAAUAUACUCCCUCCAUCCCAAAUUAGAUGGCCCCGUUGACUUUGGGCACACAAUUUAAGGUUCAUUGACCGCAUAGAUAAGUGACUUAUUUUUAAAAUUUUAUUUUUGCAAAUAAAAAUUAAAAUAUGAAAUUUUCAUUUAUAAAAGAAAAAAUAAAAAAAUAAAUUUCGGAAGUAGACGGUCAAUGCACCUAAAAUUACGUGUCCAAAGUCAACGGCAACAUCUAAUUUGGGAUGGAGGUAGUACUUGGAGAGGAGUUGAAUAUCUUAUACAGGAGAUAUCUUUGUCCUUCUUAUUUAUUGCCUAAUUUACUAUUGUAAUUAUUUGAUUAUCAAAAUUCAAAUCAAUGAAAUAGAGAGUGAAAACAUAUGAUAUUGCGCACUUAUUUUCUGUCGCUGUGUUCUUGUGUCUCCUCGCUUCAAAAAAUAAAACGGUGAUACAACUUAGAGGAUUGCAAACAAGUCAUGGCAGAUUCACGGUUCUACUUUGAUUCAAGAUAUUACAAAUUAGUGUUAAUCGGUAAUAAGUUAUCAAUUGAUUUCUUUAAGUUCGCUGUUUAAAUUCCUCUUUGCCUUUUUUUUUUCAAGAUUAGGGUUUUUACAAUUCAUAAAAUUGAUUGUUGUAAACUGGGUUCCUGAAUUCAGGUCUUAAAUAGAAGGUGGAAGGUUAAAAUCUGUGAUAUUUAUAUAUCAUAAUUCAGAAUUGUGAUUAACAAUUUACUCCUGAGACUCCUAAGCCUUGAGGUAUGUAUAACUUAUUUACUCGAGUACUUAACCCUCUGUUCCACUGCCUAAUUGUGCUUGAUUGUUAGAGUUUAUUACUUAAUUGCUUUGGAGUUAAAUCUUAUAUCCUUGGACUGUGAAUAAAUAUGUUUCUGAUAUGGUGGAACUGAAAAGCAAUCUCGGUUCUUUCUUUAAAAGCUGAUAUGUUAUAAUGACAUCUGAAUCUUGUCGAAAUGGUAAAUGAUAGUCCAUUAUCGUAAUUUUCCACUGGUUUCAGAAUUUCUGUUGCAUAUUAGUAAUUAUUUUGCACUGUUGUCUGUUCCAGGUACUGAGUGAUGCAAUGAAGCACUUCAAAAACUUAAAAAGAAGUAUGAUGUUGUUGUCAAUGUACAAGGGGAUGAACCACUCGUUGAACCUGAAAUUCUUGAUGGGAUUGUUAAAGCAUUGCAGGUUAAUUUUCUAUAUUGAGAAUAAUUCCAUUUUUAUGAACUAUCAGAUAGAUCAUUCUUUUGUUCAGCUUAAUAUUUAAAUAUUAUUGUAGAGUAUUGACAUUAAGUUGUCGUUUAAAGGUGUACAAAAAUAGUAGUACCAGGAUGAACUUAUUUUCCUCCCUUUUUCGCAUCGUAAGUUGCUUACCUUUCAGUUUAUAUUAUAUUGUUUAGGCUGCUCCUGCUGCAGUUGUUAGCACUGCUGUGACAGCCUUAGCACCCAAAGAUGCUUUUGAUCUGAAUCGUGUGAAAUGUGUGGUGGAUAUCACUUAUCAGUGGUUAUGCAAGUUAAUUGUCACGAGGAUUGAUUCUUUAUAACAAGUCAGUAUAUUUGCUUUGUUACACCUGGCACUCUGUGACUUUAGAUUAACCUAUUUUGUUCUCUAAUGUCUUGCUGAAUGUAUUUAGCUUUUGGAUGUAGGUCAGGGAAAGGCACUNNNNNNNNNNNNNNNNNNNNNNNNNNNNNNNNNNNNNNNNNNNNNNNNNNNNNNNNNNNNNNNNNNNNNNNNNNNNNNNNNNNNNNNNNNNNNNNNNNNNNNNNNNNNNNNNNNNNNNNNNNNNNNNNNNNNNNNNNNNNNNNNNNNNNNNNNNNNNNNNNNNNNNNNNNNNNNNNNNNNNNNNNNNNNNNNNNNNNNNNNNNNNNNNNNNNNNNNNNNNNNNNNNNNNNNNNNNNNNNNNNNNNNNNNNNNNNNNNNNNNNNNNNNNNNNNNNNNNNNNNNNNNNNNNNNNNNNNNNNNNNNNNNNNNNNNNNNNNNNNNNNNNNNNNNNNNNNNNNNNNNNNNNNNNNNNNNNNNNNNNNNNNNNNNNNNNNNNNNNNNNNNNNNNNNNNNNNNNNNNNNNNNNNNNNNNNNNNNNNNNNNNNNNNNNNNNNNNNNNNNNNNNNNNNNNNNNNNNNNNNNNNNNNNNNNNNNNNNNNNNNNNNNNNNNNNNNNNNNNNNNNNNNNNNNNNNNNNNNNNNNNNNNNNNNNNNNNNNNNNNNNNNNNNNNNNNNNNNNNNNNNNNNNNNNNNNNNNNNNNNNNNNNNNNNNNNNNNNNNNNNNNNNNNNNNNNNNNNNNNNNNNNNNNNNNNNNNNNNNNNNNNNNNNNNNNNNNNNNNNNNNNNNNNNNNNNNNNNNNNNNNNNNNNNNNNNNNNNNNNNNNNNNNNNNNNNNNNNNNNNNNNNNNNNNNNNNNNNNNNNNNNNNNNNNNNNNNNNNNNNNNNNNNNNNNNNNNNNNNNNNNNNNNNNNNNNNNNNNNNNNNNNNNNNNNNNNNNNNNNNNNNNNNNNNNNNNNNNNNNNNNNNNNNNNNNNNNNNNNNNNNNNNNNNNNNNNNNNNNNNNNNNNNNNNNNNNNNNNNNNNNNNNNNNNNNNNNNNNNNNNNNNNNNNNNNNNNNNNNNNNNNNNNNNNNNNNNNNNNNNNNNNNNNNNNNNNNNNNNNNNNNNNNNNNNNNNNNNNNNNNNNNNNNNNNNNNNNNNNNNNNNNNNNNNNNNNNNNNNNNNNNNNNNNNNNNNNNNNNNNNNNNNNNNNNNNNNNNNNNNNNNNNNNNNNNNNNNNNNNNNNNNNNNNNNNNNNNNNNNNNNNNNNNNNNNNNNNNNNNNNNNNNNNNNNNNNNNNNNNNNNNNNNNNNNNNNNNNNNNNNNNNNNNNNNAUUCCAUUUUUAUGAACUAUCAGAUAGAUCAUUCUUUUGUUCAGCUUAAUAUUUAAAUAUUAUUGUAGAGUAUUGACAUUAAGUUGUCGUUUAAAGGUGUACAAAAAUAGUAGUACCAGGAUGAACUUAUUUUCCUCCCUUUUUCGCAUCGUAAGUUGCUUACCUUUCAGUUUAUAUUAUAUUGUUUAGGCUGCUCCUGCUGCAGUUGUUAGCACUGCUGUGACAGCCUUAGCACCCAAAGAUGCUUUUGAUCUGAAUCGUGUGAAAUGUGUGGUGGAUAUCACUUAUCAGUGGUUAUGCAAGUUAAUUGUCACGAGGAUUGAUUCUUUAUAACAAGUCAGUAUAUUUGCUUUGUUACACCUGGCACUCUGUGACUUUAGAUUAACCAUUUUGUUCUCUAAUGUCUUGCUGAAUGUAUUUAGCUUUUGGAUGUAGGUCAGGGAAAGGCACUCCAAAAUUUCCAUACACGCUUCACCAUGGAAUUCAGGUACUUCGUCUCUGUAUUGAUGCAGUAAUGCUAAGUUUUCAAUCUUGUACAAAGUUUAGAUACAAAGUUCCUCAAAUUAUAUUCAGAGCUCCUGCCGAACCCUCUGCAACUAGAUGAAGAUCUGGAACAAUAAAAAAUCCUGGAGAAUGGAUACAAGAUGAAGGUGUGUUUCUAAUUGGGAUACAUCCAUUUUCUCGAUAUUGUUAUAUUAUAUCCCUACUGUUUUAUGUUUCACCAAGAAUCUGAUGGCGGUUGCCGCCAUCAGAUUUUUGGUGAAGCAUCAUCUAUGAUGUACGUCACUAGAGGUAUGUGCCAAGUUGAAGCUUUAGAUCAGAUGAUCUGGAUUGUGUCACAUUGCCUACUUUUCACUUUCCGCAUUGUUUGCAGCUGCAGUGUACAUUAAGAUGAAGAAACCAAAUACUGCUAUAAGCGAUGCCAAUACUGCUUUAGAGGUAGUUCUUAGUUUCCUAAAUGUGCUCACAUUGUAAUUUUAUAUGGUCAAUAUUAAUACUAAAAGCAUAUUUUUCUCUCAAUGCAAUUUGUUAAUGAAGUUUCCCCCUACAGACUGGUCAGCAUGCAUGAUAUACAUAGUUUACAAAUUUCCGGUAUUAAAUUUAUUUGCUUUGUGUUUAAUUGUUUCAGAAUAUUGUAUGUGGUUAUGCGAGAGUUAUUGGAGCUUUUUGUUUUUGUAUCGAGUUUUUGGAGGAUAAACUAAUUAAACAGUGUAAUGUUUUUGUGAUAUAUAUGUGUAGUUUUAAGAGAGUUUGUGUGUGUAUGCUUAACUUAUGUAUACGGCAAAAACGUAUAAAAGACCUGUGUUGUAGUGUCGUCAUGGAGAACAGCGGGGAAAUUUCAGGUCAAAUAGUAUAAUGACAUUAUUUGGGAUAUGAAAUUUACUGGAAGUUUAAAUUCUGGUGGUUAACGGGGGAGUAUUUAAAAACUGUAAGCGGAAUAAAGAGAUUUGUAUGGUCAGUGUUAUUCAACCUAUACAUCGUCAUUUAUAAUAGUUAGUUUGAGUUGGUUGGAAGUUCUUUGGUCAGCAUCAAUGCAGAUAGAAAUCUUAGCAUAUUGUUUUGUUUCAGAAGUUUUAGGUUGGCUUAGCAAUUCAUACCCUCAGUUCUCUUUUACUAAAAGUAAACAGGGCUUUAUCUGUCUCUUGCACACAAAUCACAGACAAACAAAAUUAUACUAUAAUCUUAAGUUCACUUUUGUUGGCUAAUUUUGCUAAAAAUUUCCAGUUUUGCCAGUGGUUUGGUUUCCGCAGCAGAGAAGGUUCCCAAGGAGGGUUGGACAAUGCAGGAUGGAAUUCCAUGACCAUAAAACAACGUGCAUGAUCAUCUUGCAAUGAUCCAGGUGAAGUUUAUGUUAAUCUUUAUAUUAAUCUUAUAAUAUGGUAACGUAAAGCCCAUUUUGUCACAACCAAUCCAUACAUCAUCCAAUACCAACAAUAUAGGACUUGGUCCUUUUUGCUUCAGCGAGAACUCCAUGUAGGGAACACUUGAUCAUUUUCCAGAAAAGUAAGUUACCAAUUUAGAUGCAAUUUAAGUAUCAAUGUUUAUCCUUUCAUUGCAUCAUUGUUAAUAUGACGGGUCCAAUGCUGUUGUACUAAAAGAAAGUGAAAUGUAUACUACCGAGUUAAUAGCGAGCUUAUUACAAGUUCAUAUGUUGUUUUUCCAUUUCAGAUGAAAGGUGUUCUGAAUAUUUAAUUCAGAUAACUUAAUGAAGAAGAGGGCACAUAUUUUGAGCCCUUAUUUUACUUUUCAGAUUUUUGUGAAAAGAAUUAAAAAAAAAUGAUAUUUAUAAUAAUAAAAUUAUGAUAUCAAAUACGGGAAUUAAGACAUUCAUCAAAGUUAAACUUGCAGAAUUUUGAUGUUAUAUAUAUUGAUUCUGUAUGAAAUAAUGAAAGUAAUUGAUUGUCUCCGCCACCAUUCACAUUAAUCCCGUUAGUAGAUGUCCCGGGUGGUGCAGGAGUAUAAUUUUGAUAGCAAGGUCUUUUAAGACGUGACCAGGGAUAAAUGCAUGUAAAUUUAAUUUUGGUACUAAAUUUUAUACUAUCAUAAUUCAUUUUUUUCCAGAAAUUUUGGUACAUAAACAAUUUAGAGGGACAUCCCACAAAAAAGAGUAAAAAUGAAGAAAGACGAAAUAAAAUGUUACAAAAAAGAGUAAAAAUGAAGAAAGACGAAAUAAAAUUUAUUGAGGCCAAAUUAAUGUAAGUAAUGUAAUAUAAUUAAAUCAGUAGAACAAGGAGCUCACUUGGCGUACUAUUAUUUUCUUUAUGUCUACUUCUAAAUCCAUAAAUUUAGUUUUUAAAAUUUAAACAAAUAAGGUGUCUCAAAAAUAUAUUACCAACAUGAUAAAAUAUAGCAAAAUUUUAAUUUCUCUAAAUUUAAAUUUUUUAAAUAAUCCUUAUCAUGUCCAUGCUUAGCGGGCAACUAUUACUAAUAAUAAUUUUUUUUUAAAUAUAGUCGAAAAUCAAUAAAUCUAAAUCUAGUCAAAACAUAAAAUAGGGGACUUUAAUAUUAACUUGACUUUUCACUUUCCAUUACAAAACUCAUUCCAUCUAUAUAUUUUGUCACAAACCGAGCACUAAACUGAAGUCAAGAGAAACUAUCAACUGCUUGUUCCUAGGGACCAGGCCACCAGCCACCAGGGAAUGUUUACAGGCGCUUGCAUUGCGUUGGCAGUUGCAUCAUACGUGAUACGACCUUCUAUAACAAAAAUUAUUAUAUAUUAUACAAAUAAAAAAUUAUAAAUAUUAUAUCAUUUUAAAUCAUUAUAAAUAAAAUAUAUAAUUUUAUUUUGAUAAUAGCUAAUGUUGAAUUUUGUAACACGGCCACUCCAUAGCUUCGACAUAUAUAACCAUGCUAAAUUUUUUUAGACGUGAUUGGAACGAAGAGUUUUUUAAAUAUUAUCUAUAAUUUUAAUUUGUGAUAAAAUUUAUUCAAUUUUAUCUAAGAUUUUUAGAAAAUGGGAAAAUAGAGACAAAAUAAACAUGUUACAUGAUUAAAAUAAUUCUUCACAAAGUUAAUAUUUAAUAAGUCGCUUGAAUUUACAAAAUGAAAAAUUUAGUAUAAAAUGACUUAUACUUGUAUUUAAAAAUAAAUUUAAAUUUUCGUAGCAAAUAAUGAGAGAGUACUUUUUAUGUUAAACGUGUUUUAUAAAAUUAUGAAUGUUAUAAAAACAAUUUUACGUGUUUUCUAAUUUUUUUUCAAAUUACUCCUUAUAAAAAAAUAUUGAAAUAACUCUUGAAUAUCAUUUAUGAUUAUCAAUGACGGAUAAUCUAGUGUUGUAGCGUCCUAUUAUGCUAAACCCAGUUAGAAUAGUAUACGAAAUAUCAUUCUCUUCUAUUAAUCCCAACAGGAUGCUAUACUAACUUUCUGUUUUUUUAACCCAUCGUGUGGCAUCUAGUUCUUCUACCUAACACUACAUGAUAUAGCGUCAAAAAAUUAAUUAAAGAACGUUUUUGCACGUUAGGAAAUUUGAGACAAUAAUAUUUUAAAUUAUGAUAAUGAAAGCCAACAAUUGAGUUUUGGCGGAUUUUAACACAUCUUUUGUUAAAAUCUCGUAGAUUUUCGAGAGAUUUCCAAAAUUGUAAAAUACACUAGUAAAUCCAUUAGAGUUCACUAUUAUAAAAUUAAAAAAAAUUCGUUUUUUAAACAUCAUCAAUUUUAAAAUAAUUAAAAUUCUAAUAUGAUAUCUCAAGAUUUUAGAAGAUUGUUUCUUAUCUUUGUCCAAUAUCAUAGUAUUAUAAUCAACUUUUUCAGUACUAGUUGAAUAAUUAUGGAGAAUUUGUUUGCAUUAGCUAUAUUUUUUAAAGAAAAAUGUAUCGUUUACAAAAUUUCAAUUUUUUUAAAAAGAUUUCCAAAAUUACAAGGGACACUAGUAAAUUCAUCAGAAAUUUUUUAUUAUAAAAUAUUUAGAAAAUAUAUCUUUAUAUCACUGAUUUUUAAAAAUGUUACAAAAAUAUUUAAACUUUUAAUUCAAUAUCUCGAAAUUUCAAAAGAUAAUUUACGAUUUUUAUUAUCAAACUUUUAGGUGGUGUGUUCGACUAAGAUAUAAUGGAUUGUGUUUAAUUUAUGAAUUUUAAUGAAUUGUAUAUGACUUUGAUUUUAUGCGGAUUUUUGAUAAAAUGUCGUAGAGCUGAUGUAGAUUUUUCAAGAUUUAAGCACAAUAUUUUAAAACCUCGUCAAUUUUGUUGGGAUUUCGAAAUUUUUAAGAUAGACUGAAAAAUACCAAAAAAUCAAUCAUUUUAUAAAAUCCAAAAAAUCCAUCAGCAUUUGAAACAAUCCAAUCGAACAACAUCGGAUUUUUAAACAUGAUUCAAUAUUCUGAUUGAAUAUCACUAGAUUUCAUCACAUGAUAUAAAAUCUCAAUUGAAUAUUUCAAGAUUUUAAUAAAUUUUAAAUAAUCUCAAUUAAUACGUUCAAAAUUUGUGAAUGAAAAAAAAUCUUUUAAAAUCUCAAUUGAAUAUAGUGUCUUAUUUGAAUUGAAUAUUCAAUUAAAUCAUCGGAUUUUUAAAGAUAAUUUAAUAUCCUGAUUGAAUAUCUCCAGAUUUCAUCACAUGAUAUAAAAUCUUUGAAUAUCUCAAGAUUUUAAUAAAUUUCAAACAAUCUCAAUUAAUACUCCCUCCGUCCCUUUUUACUUGUCACCUUUGUUAUUGUACUGGUCAAAUUGAUCAAAAUUUGACUGAAAUUUAUUAAUAUUUUAUCAAUUAAAAAAAAUGAAAAAAUAUGUAAUCGGAAAUAGCUUUUAAUCUACUUUAAGAUGUAAUUUUCAAUUUUUUAAAAUAAUAAAAAAGUGACUUAUAAUUUUUGGUCAAAAGUUAAUCAAUUUAAUUAAUAAAUAUAAAAAUACGACACUAAAAAAUACAAUGACUACGUUCAAAUCUCUUAGAAUGAAAAAUAUCUUUUAAAAUCUUCAUUGAAUAUGAAUUGAAUAUUACUUCAUACGAAUUGAAUGCAGCCCACAAUCACAUCACAUAUAUAUAUUUGUAUUAUUUCAAUCGCUGUGUUCUUGUGUCUCCUCUCCUUAAAAAACUAAAAUGGCGAUACAACUUACAGGAUUGCAAACAAGUCACGGCAGAGUCACGGUUCUAGUUUGAUCUAAGAUAUUACAAUUUAGUGUUAAUCGGUAAGAAGUUAUCAAUUAAUCUCUUUAAGUUCGCUGUUUACACCUCUUUGCCUCUUUAUUUUUCCUUCAGGAUUAGGGCUUUUACGAUUCAUAAAAUUGAUUGUUGUAAACUGGGUUCCUAAAUUCAGGUCUUAAAUACAAGGUGGAAGGCUAUAAUCAUUGAUAUUUAUACAUCAUAAUUCAGAAUUGUGCUUCCUCAGAGAUCAACGAUUUACUCCUGAGACUCCUAAGGCUUGAGGUAUGUAUACAUAUUUACUCAAUACUUAACCCUCCGUUAACUGCCUAAUUGUGCUUAAUUGUCAGAGUGUAUUACUUAACUGUUUUGGAGUUAAAAUCUUAUACCCAUGGACUCUGGUUAAAUAUGUUUCAGAUGUGGUGAAACCGAAACACACUCUCCGUUCUUUCUUUAAAAGUGUAUUACAACCUUAUAUAACUGAAGUAGGCACUAAUCAAAGUGAAACUUCUGUGUGUUGGUUGGGGUGAAUGAAAAUGAAAGGAAUGGAAUGAAAUUUGAAUUACAAUUUUGUUGAAUGUUUAAUAAUUUCAUUCCUUUCACUAUUCCAUUCCAAUUAUCCUUAACUAGAGCUCAAACCCUCCACUUUGUGAAGGAAUGUAAUAUUCUUUAUCAUACCUAUUUUCUACCCAAAUCUCAUUUAACAAAAUUUGCAUUCACUCCUUAUUCAAAGGCCUACUAUGACAAGAUGUAUAAAAAUGGAAUAGCAGGGAAUUUAAUAACUACUCCAUAUCGGGAGAAUUCAAUCGUUUAUAUGAAUGAAAAAGGAAAUUCAAUAAAUCCUCCUCCAUGGAAUCAGUUGAAUGAAAGUAUUUACGAUAACAUUGGAAUCCUGACCAUGAAAGAAAUUGAUAAAUUGGUGUUUGAAGAUCUCUUAAAUUGGUGUUUGAAGAUCUUCAAGCCUAGUAGGAUCCUCAUGCAACAAUUUAUCAAUUUCUUCUAUGGUCGGGAUUCCAGUGUCAUCUUAAAUGCUUUCAUUCAAUUGUUUUGUUGGAAGAAGAGUUAUUGAAUUCCUCCUCGUUUCAUUCAUAUACACGUCUGUCUUCUCCCAACUGUUCUGUGAAGUAGUUAUCGAAUUUCUUACUAUUGCAUUCUUAUACAUUUUGUCACAGGACUUAAUCUAGUCUAAUCCACCAACAGUAGCGACAUCGUCGUAAUGAUUAUUGCCUUCAUAGUUCAUUGUUCCUUCAGCACCACAACUAUUAACUUUACCAAGCUUUUUCUUCAGAUGGACAUACAAGUAGUUUUUAAUGUCAUAAUGAGUUCUACCAGGCAGGUGUGCAGCAAUGGCAGCUUAUCUAAACAUACACGAAAUCUAUUUAGAGUCCUCCCUCCUACCCCCUAUUAUUUCCUUUUAUUUUCACACAUUCCAUUCACCCCCUACCAAACACAACAUUGAAUCCUUUGUAGCGUAUUGUUGAGCCUGUUGAACCUAAAUUAAUAUUUUUUAUAGUAAUAGUUUUAGAAUAAUGAAUACAUCUAAAUAAGUUUUCAAAUAUCUCUUUUAGCAAUUAGCGACUUUAUGUAUACAUAUUUACUCAAUACUUAACCCUCCGUUAACUGCCUAAUUGUGCUUAAUUGUCAGAGUGUAUCACUUAACUGUUUUGGAGUUAAAAUCUUAUACCCAUGGACUCUGAUUAAAUAUGUUUCAGAUGUGGUGAAACCGAAACACACUCUCUGUUCUUUCUUUAAAAGUGUAUUAGAACCUUAUAUAACUGAAAGGCACUAAUCAAAGUGAAACUUCUGUGUGUUGGUUGGUGUGAAUGAAAAUGAAAGGAAUGGAAUGAAAUUUGAAUUACAAAUUUGUUGAAUGUUUAAUAAUUUCAUUCAUUUGACUAUUCCAUUCUUAUUAUCCUUAACUAGAGCUCAAACCCUCCACUUUGUGAAGGAAUGUAAUAUUCCUUAUUAUACCUAUUUUCUACCCAAAUCUCAUUUAACAAAAUUUGCAUUUACUCCUUAUUCAAAGUCCUCCCUCCUACCCCCUAUUAUUUCCUUUUAUUUUCAUUCAUUCCAUUCACCCCCUACCAAACACAACAUUGAAUCCUUUCUAGCGUAUUUGAGAUUGUAUCAUUAAACACAUAGGCCAAUACAUUAUUCUUUUAAUUGUCCUAUUUAAAAGACCAAGACAAAUGAGUAAAUAAAAAUGCUGUUACCGGUUGCCAUUGAGAGUUUGAUGGCGGAUAAUUAUCUUAUCUUCCUCGGGGGUAAAAUUUCACCGAUAUCAGGGUUAAGAUGAUUCACCUACCUUAAUCUACAACUCUUACCAUUCCUAUGCAACCCUGUUAAAUCACAAAACUAAUCAGGAUAUAUAACCAAAUACAAACUCGCUAAAAUGAGACAUAAAUUAAUAACACAGUUUAACAAAAAAAAAGUACAUAUAUACCAGCAAGUUUAGGAAGGGUUGUCUAAUUGCAUGUAUCAUGUUUUUGGACGUAAGAUACCAACUUACUAUCUUCUUCAGAAGUCCAUGCUUCUUUCGUUUUUGCUUUUAUUUUCUCAGCCGACCUCCUUAUCUCUCUUUCUCUUUAUCAUUGACUAUAUAUAUGUAAGAGAUAAUGAGGUCAGAGAAUGAAAGAGACAAAGGAGCAUGGACUUUUGAACAAGAUAGCAAGUUGGUGUCUUAAGUCCAAAAACAUGGUACAUGCAAUUGGACAUUCGUUCCUAAAAGUAGUGGUAUAUAACUGUUUUUUUGCUAUAAUGUGCUAUUAAUUUAUGUCUCAUUUCGGAUGAGUUUGUAUUUGGUUACAUAUCCUGAUUAGUUUCAUAAUUUAUUAGCGUUGCAUAGGAAUGGUAACAGCUGUAGAUUAAAGUGGAUGAAUCAUCUCAACCCUGAUUUGAAAGGGGAAAUUUUACUACUAACGAAGAUCAGAUAAUUAUCCGUCAUCAAGCUCUUAAUGGCAACCGGUACUGGCUCUUUUAUUUAUUCAUUUCUCUUGGCCUCUUAUAUAGGACAAUGAAAAUAAGAAUUUAUUAGCGUACGUGUUUAAUAUACAAUCUUAAAGCCGCUUAUUCGUAAAAGCAAUUGCCUUCUCCUGAUUAUUCUGUUGAGUAGUUAUCGAAUUCACUACUAUUACAUUCUUACACAUCUUGUCAUAGUAGGCCUUUAUGUAGUCUAAUCCACCAAUAGUAGCAACAUCGUCAUAAUGUUUAUAGUCUUCAAAAUUCUGUUUUCCUUCAACACCACGACUGUUAACUUUACCAAGCUUCUUCUUCAGAUGGACAUGCCAGUAGUUUUUAAUGUCAUUAUCCGUCCUACCAGGCAUGUGUGCUGCAAUGGCAGCCCAUCUACACUUACACGAAAUUUAAAUAAAAUUUAAAGUGUCAAAUGCAUUAACAUAGUAACAUAAAUAUUAUUAAAGAACAAAACAUUUCAAUUGAAAUCCUUAACUGAUAUUUUUUAUAGCAAUACUUUUAGAGUAGUUAAUACUUGUAAAUAGUAAUAAAAUCUUGUUUGACAUUUUUAUUAGCGGUUUUGAGAUUGUAUCAUUAGACACAUAGGCCAAUACAUUAUUCUUUUAAUAGUCCUAUUUAAAAGACCAAGACAAAUGAGUAAAUAAAAGUGCUGUUACCGGUUGCCAUUGAGAGUUUGAUGACGGACAAUAUCUUAUCUUCCUCGGGGGUAAAAUAUCACCGAUAUCAGGGCUAAGAUGAUUCACCUACCUUAGUCUACAACUCUUACCAUUCCUAUGCAACCCUGUUAAAUUACAAAACUAAUCUGGAUAUAUAACCAAAUACAAACCCGCUAAAAUGAGACAUAAAUUAAUAGCACAGUUUAACAAAAAAGGAGUCCAUAUAUACCAGCAAGUUUAGGAAGGUUUGUGUAAUUGCAUGUAUCAUGUUUUUGGACGUAAGAUACCAACUUACUAUCUUCUUCAGAAUUCCAUGCUCCUUUUGUUUUUUCUUAUAUUUUCUCAGCCGACCUCCUUAUCUCUGACUAUAUAUAUGUAAGAGAUAUUAAAGAAUUGUUUAAAUGAGUUGCAUACAGAGUUGAUAUUUAUAGAUAUAAACCAACUAUUUAUACUUAUUCGUAAAAAAGUAAAUAUUUUUUUGCCCCGGGCGCAAAUAUUAUUUAAUAAUUCCGGAUUUUUAUUCCUUCGCCCAGACACAUUAAAACAAUAUUAUAUUCAAAUUUAUUGAUUUUUCUAGUACAAACUAAAGUUUUUCUCUUGUCAGACGAACAUACUCGAAUGGUACAUUACUCGUACAAGAAUAUACUCCAUAGAGAGGAAUUACUUUCUCGUACAAGAAUAUAUUCUGUAAAGAGGAAUUUCUUUCAUUCAAGAAUCUCUCGAGUAUGUACACUUGACAAGAAAAAACCUUGGUUAGUAAUAGAAAAAUCAAUUAAUUUGAAUAUAAUAUUGUUUCCAUGUGUCUAGGGCCAAGGAAUAAAAAUUCAUAAAUAUUAAAUAAUAUAUGGGCCCGAGGGAAAAGAAUCUUUACUUUUGUAAGAAUAGGUGAAAUAGUUGGUUUAUAUAUGUAAAUACCAACUCAAUGUGCAACUCAUUUUUGUAGUUUUUUCAUAUCUCUUGCAUAUGUAUAGUCGAAGAAAGAGAGAUAAUGAGGUCAGCUGAGAGAAUGAAAGAGGCAAAUGAGCAUGGACUUUUGAAGAAGAUAGCAAGUUGGGGUCUUAAGUCCAAGAACAUGGUACAUGCAAUUGGACAGUCCUUCCUGAAAUUGCUGGUAUAUAACUUCUUCUUUUUUUUUGCGAUAAUGUGCUAUUAAUUCAUGUCUCAUUUCGGAUAAGUUUGUAUUUGGCUACAUAUCCUAAUUAGUUUUCUAAUUUAUUAGGGUUGCAGAGGAAUGGUAACAGCUGUAGAGUAAGGUGGAUGAAUCAUCUUAGCCCCGAUUUGAAAGGGGAAAUUUUACUACUGACGAAAGUCAUGUAAUUAUCCGUCAUCAAGCUCUCAAUGGCAACCGGUACUGGCUCUUUUAUUUACUCAUUUCUCUUGGCCUCUUACAUAGGACAAUGAAAAGAAGAAUUUAUUAGCGUACGUGUUUAAUAUACAAUCUUAAAGCUGCUAAUUCGUAAAAACAAUUGCUUUCUCCUGAUUAUUCUCUUGAGUAGUUAUCGAAUUCACUACUAUUACAUUCUUGCACAUCUUGUCAUAGUAGGCCUUUAUGUAGUCUAAUCCACCAAUAGUAGCAACAUCGUCAUAAUGUUUAGUCUUCAAAAUUCUGUUUUCCUUCAACACCACAAAUGUUAUCUAUACCAAGCUUCUUCUUCAGAUGGACAUGCCAGUAGUUUUUAAUGUCAUUAUCCGUCCUCCCAGGCACGUGUGCUGCAAUGGCAGCCCAUCUACACAUACACGAAAUUUAAAGUGUCAAAUGCAUUAACAUAAUAACAUAAAUUUAAUUAAAGAACAAAACAUUUCAAUUGAAAUCCUUAGAGCAUUUCCGAUGUGCUCUUUAAACAAGCUCUUAACUUUAAAUUUAAAGAGCAAGCCAAGAAUUAGAGCUUCAAUGGGCUCUUAGAGCAUCUCCAAUAGUCUCUUAGUUAGCUCCUAUAUAUAAUGUAAAAUAUUAAGCUCCCAGGAGGUUAAUACAUUACUAAGAGUUUGAACUCCAAUAAUGCUCUCUAUACACACUCCUAACACUAUAUUUUAUUAUUAUUUAAACUCCACUAUGACAAAAGUUCAAAGUCACAUGGGUGAGAGUGAAUAUUAAAUUAUAAAAAACAAGUUAAGAGCCAUGUAGUGGCUCUUAAAAAAGAGGAGAGAGAAGGGGCUCCUAGUAUUUUUAGGAGCCACUAAGAGCCUAUUGGAGCUCCAUUUUUUCUUAUCCUCUUUAUUUUUGAUUUUAAGAGCCAAUUUAAGAGGCUAUUGGAGAUGCUCUUAGAAACUCUUUAAAAAUUUAAGAGUGUACUCUCUCUCCUUUCUUUUAAAUAGCAUCUAGUAGCUCUUAACUCAAUAUAAUAUUAAUUUCCCUCCAAUCUUCUCUUUCUUUUGGUUGACUUUUUCCUCUCAUUUAUAUAAUAUAUAUAAAUGAAAGGAAUGGAAUGAAAUUUGAAUGACAAUUUUGUUUAACGUUUAAUAAUUUCAUUCCUUUCACUAUUCCAUUCCUAUCACCCUUAACUAGAGCUCAGACCCUCCACUUUGUGAAAGAAUGUAAUAAAAUUUGCAUUCACUCCUUAUUCAAAGUCCUCCCUCCUACCCCCUAUUAUUUCCUUUUAUUUUCACUCAUUCCAUUCACCCCCUACCAAACACAACAUUGAAUCCUUUCUAGCCUAUUGUUGAGCCCGUUGAAUCCCAACUAACAUUGUUUAUAGUAAUAGUUUUAGAAUAAUGAAUACAUCUAAAUAAGUUUUCAAAUAUCUUGUUUAGCAAUUAGCGACUUUAUGAUACUGUCAUUAGAUAGGGAGAUAAAUUCUUUCUUUGAUUUCUUGUUUAAAAGACCUAGAGAAAUAAGUCAACUACUAAUUUAUUUUUAUGGAUUUUUAUCCCUUGACCCCAGAUACUAUUUAAUUUCUACACCUAACGCCUCUUGUUCGUAAGUCACAGUGAUAGUUUAACCUCUUUUUCUCAUCAUUCACUCUGACAAAGAUAUCAAACACUAAACCUAGGCACGUGGAAGCUGAACCCAUGCCCAUCUUUGUUAUCUCUUCUUGAUAUGUUGCUAUAGAUUCAAAGGUCAUUGUCACAACUUGCAAGGUGCCCAAAGGCUCAAACUAUAGUCCUUUGUUCAACCCAUGUCAUUCUUCCACUUAUAAGCUCUAUCAACUUCUGAUUCGAAAGCUUUCUCAACAAACUCAACCUUGUUCAUGGUUUAAGAACCAAUGAUAUGAGCUUCAUACUAUGGUAUGUAUAUAUUUUGACCAGUGAGAAGCGAAGCUCUAUCAUUAAUGCCUCUAGAUAUUAAAUUGACCAUGCACUUAAAAGUAGCAGGAGAUGCGAAGUCUGGAUCAUUUGGAUGAUUAUUAAUGCCUGAGAGUUGAUUUACUUCCACAGUUCCGCUCAUUAAAGAUCCAGAAAGAAGGCAUAUGAUUAAAGCUACGGGCAGACCCAUCUGAAGAAGAAGCUUGGUAAGGUGAAGGAACAAAGAACCAUGAAGGCUAUAAACAUUACAGCGAUGCCGUUACUGUUGCGGGAUCAGACUACAUAAAGGCCUACUAUGACAAGAUGUAUAAAAAUGGAAUAGCAGGGAAUUUAAUAACUACUCCAUAUCGGGAGAAGGCAAUCGUUUAUAUGAAUGAAACAGGAAAUUCAAUAAAUCCUCCUCCAUGGAAUCAAUUGAAUGAAAGUAUUUACGAUAACAUUGGAAUCCUGACCAUGAAAGAAAUUGAUAAAUUGGUGUUUGAAGAUCUCGUAAAAGGAUCUUCAAGCCUAGUAGGAUCCUCAUGCAACAAUUUAUCAAUUUCUUCUAUGGUCGGGAUUCCAGUGUCAUCCUAAAUGCUUUCAUUCAACUGUUUUUGUGGAAGAAGAGUUAUUGAAUUCCUCCUCGUUUCAUUCAUAUACACGUGUGUCUUCUCCCAACUGUUCUGUGAAGUAGUUAUCGAAUUUCCUGCUAUUGCAUUCUUACACAUUUUGUCACAGGACUUAAUCUAGUCUAAUCCACCAACAGUAGCGACAUCGUCGUAAUGAUUAUUGCCUUCAUAGUUCAUUGUUCCUUCAGCACCGCAACUAUUAACUUUACCAAGCUUUUUCUUCAGAUGUACAUGCAAGUAGUUUUAAAGUCAUCAUGAGUUUUACCAUGCAGGUGUGCAGCAAUGGCAGCUCAUCUAAACAUACACGAAAUCUAUUUAAAUUUAAAACCGUUAAAUCUAUUAUUACAGUAUCACACAUUAAAAUGAAGAACAACGCAUUUGAACCGAAAUCCUUUAGUAAUAUUGUUUAUAGUAAUAGUUUUAGGAUAGUUAAUACUUCUAAUUAAGUAUUAAAGUCUUAUUUGACAUUUUAAUUAGCGGUUUUGAAAUUGUGUCAUUAAACAAGUAAGCCAAUAAAUUCUUCUUUAAAUUGUUCUAAUUAAAAGGCCAAGAUAAAUGAAUAAAUAAGUGCUGGUACCGGUUGCCAGUGUGAGUCUGAUGGCAGAUAAUUAUCAUAUCUUCCUCAGGAGUAAAAUUUCCGUGUUUAAUACUAGGGCUACGAUGAUUCACCCACCUCAGUCUACAACUCUAACCAUUAAUCUUUAGUCUUAGUAAUUACAGAACAAGUAUUAUUUCUAUUUUUAUAGGUAAAUGCUCGUUCAGUUAUUGCCUGAUGUAGUUCCCUAAUGUGGUGGAUAACAGUGGUUAUGCAAUUUAGUUUUCACGAGGAUUGAUUCCCUAUUACAAGUCAGUAAGUAUAUUUGCUUUGUUACACCUCGGACUCUGACUUCGGGUUAGCCUUUUUGUAAAGUUUUGCUGAAUGUAUUUACCUUUUGGAUGUAGGUCAGGGAAAGGCACUCCAAAAUUUCCGUACAUGCUUGACCUUGGAAUUCAGGUACUUCAAUAUUCUUGUUAUGUAUUACUAGGCAGUGUCUGUAUUGAUGCAGUAAUGCUAAGUUUUUAAUCUUUUACAGAGUUUUGAUACAAAGUUCCUCAAAAUAUAAUCAGAGCUCCCGCCCACCCCGCUGCAACUAGAAGAAAAUUUGAAACAAUUAAAAGUCCUGGAGAAUGGAUACAAGAUGAAGGUGGGUUUCUAAUUAGGAUACAUCCAUUUUCCAAAUAUCUUCAUAUUAUAUCCCUACUCUUUUGUGUUUCACCAAUAAUCUGAUGGCGGUUGCCGCCGGUGAUAAUCUCCGACGAGGUAAUAGAUUGAGGAGCCGUGUGGUCGGGAUUAUACCCGCCAGGUAAACUUACUCGCGCUUCGAGAGCAAGUCUCUCAUUGAUAUCCCCAACAAGCCCAUGAUCCAGGUACGGCCCACUUGCUAUUUCUACACCUCAAUUAUUACUAUAUUUGUUGUUUAGUUUGACCCUUUGACUUUCUUGUGAUCGUGUAAAUAUAAUGAAUAAUGAUCAUAGUAAUGUCUAAUUUGGAGACUAGAGGUCGAGAGUUUAAGUCUUGUCAUAGUGAGAGUGUUGGAUAUAAUUUAGAAAAUAGAGUUGUAGUUUAGUUUGGUACACAGGCUUCAGACUAAUAGGUGGCCAGUCUACUAUUUGUUUAUAUUUGCGGAAAUGCAGUAAUGUUAACAUACAUUAUGCUUAUUUUAACAAAAUAAUUGUAAAUGCUAGUUUAGUUGUAACUUGUGUGCUUAUUUGUUGUAUUUUUUUAUAUUCGUAUUAGUUAGUUAAGUUACUUUUUUGUAAGUAUUUAUAAUAAGAAAUUAAGUAAUUACAAAUAUUAAAAUUGGGAUAUAAUUAUAUUUUCAAAUUGGUAUACCUAAUGCACAAUAUUUGUUAUUAAUAUUAAGAUAUCUUUUCCAGAAAUGACUAUAAAUAAAUAAUAUAUUCUAAACUAAGAACAAAGGUUUUUUUUAUCAUGUGUAUACAAUUUUGAGACCCUGAGCAAACAGAGACACAGUGCCGAUAAUCAAUUUGCACACCUUAAAAAACGGCACUGGUUCUUAUUAUAAACAAUCAUUAAUCCAUAAUUAAGCAAAAGAACUGGACUUAAUAAAAGGAGCAGAAGGAUCUUCAAGCCUAGGAUAUUCAAGCAGUAAUUUGUCAAUCUAUUCCAUAGAUGGGAUUCUAGCGUCAUCAUAAAUGCUUUCAUUUGACUAAUUCUAUGGAGAAGGAGUUGUCGAAUUCCCCAUUGUUUCAUUCGUAAAAACAAUUGCCUUCUCCUGAUUAUUCUGUUUAGUAGUUAUCGAAUUCACUACUAUUACAUUCUUACACAUCUUGUCAUAGGAGGCCUUUAUGUAGUCUAAUCCACCAAUAGUAGCAACAUCGUCAUAAUGUUUUUAGUCGUCAAAAUUCUGUUUUCCUUCAACACUACAACUGUUAACUAUACCAAGCUUCUUCUUCAGAUGGACAUACCACUAGUUUUUAAUGUCAUUAUCCGUCCUACCAGGCACGUGUGCUGCAAUGGCAGCCCAUCUACACACACACGAAAUUUAAAUAAAAUUUAAAGUGUCAAAUGCAUUAACAUAAUAAUAUAAAUUUAAUUAAAGAACAAAACAUUUCAAAUGAAAUCCUUAACUGAAAUUUUUUAUAGCAAUACUUUUAGAGUAGUUAAUACUUUUAAAAAAGUAAUAAAAUUUUGUUUGACAUUUUUAUUAGCGGUUUUGAGAUUGUAUCAUUAAACACAUAGGCCAAUACAUUAUUCUUUUAAUUGUCCUAUUUGAAAGACCAAGACAAAUGAGUAAAUAAAAGUGCUGUUGCCGGUUGCCAUUGAGAGUUUGAUGACGGAUAAUUGUCUUAUCUUCCUCGGGGGUAAAAUUUCACCGAUAUCAGGGCUAAGAUGAUUCACCUACCUUAGUCUACAACUCUUACCAUUCCUAUGCAACCCUGUUAAAUUACAAAACUAAUCAGGAUAUAUAACCAAAUACAAACUCGCUAAAAUGAGACAUAAAUUAAUAGCACAGUAUAACAAAAAAAAAGUAGAUAUAUACCUAUGCAAGUUUAGGAAGGGUUGUCUAAUUGCAUGUACCAUGUUUUUGGAUGUAAGACACCAACUUACUAUCUUCUUCAGAAGUCCAUGCUCCUUUCGUUUUUUCUUAUAUUUUCUCAGCCGACCUCCUUAUCUCUCUUUCUUCUUAUCUCCGACUAUAUAUAUGUAAGAGAUAUUAAAAAAUUGUUUAAAUGAGUUGCAUAGUGAAUUGAUAUUUAUAGAUAUAAACCAACUAUUUUUACUUAUUCGUACAAAAGUAAAUAUUUUUUUUGCCCCAGGCGCAAAUAUUAUUUAAUAAUUAUGGAUUUUUAUCCCUUCACCCCAGACAAAUUAAAACAAUAUUAUAUUCAAAUUUAUUGAUUUUUCAAGUACGAACUGAAGUUUUUCUCUUGUCAGAUGAACAUACUCGUAUGGUACAUUACUCGUACAAGAAUAUACUCCAUAAAGAGGAAUUACUUUCUCGUACAAGAAUAUAUUCCAUAAAAAGGAAUUUCUUUCAUUCAAGAAUCUCCCGAGUAUGUACACUUGACAAGAAAAAACCUUGGUUAGUAAUAGAAAAAUCAAUUAAUUUGAAUAUAAUAUUGUUUCCAUGUGUCUAGGGCCAAGGAAUAAAAAUUCAUAAAUAUUAAAUAAUAUAUGGGCCCGAGGGAAAAGAAUCUUUACUUUUGUAAGAAUAGGUGAAAUAGUUGGUUUAUAUAUGUAAAUACCAACUCAAUGUGCAACUCAUUUUUGUAGUUUUUUCAUAUCUCUUGCAUAUGUAUAGUCGAAGAAAGAGAGAUAAUGAGGUCAGCUGAGAGAAUGAAAGAGGCAAAUGAGCAUGGACUUUUGAAGAAGAUAGCAAGUUGGGGUCUUAAGUCCAAGAACAUGGUACAUGCAAUUGGACAGUCCUUCCUGAAAUUGCUGGUAUAUAACUUCUUUUUUUUUGCGAUAAUGUGCUAUUAAUUCAUGUCUCAUUUCGGAUAAGUUUGUAUUUGGCUACAUAUCCUAAUUAGUUUUCUAAUUUAUUAGGGUUGCAGAGGAAUGGUAACAGCUGUAGAGUAAGGUGGAUGAAUCAUCUUAGCCCCGAUUUGAAAGGGGAAAUUUUACUACUGACGAAAGUCAUGUUUAAUAUACAAUCUUAAAGCUGCUAAUUCGUAAAAACAAUUGCUUUCUCCUGAUUAUUCUCUUGAGUAGUUAUCGAAUUCACUACUAUUACAUUCUUGCACAUCUUGUCAUAGUAGGCCUUUAUGUAGUCUAAUCCACCAAUAGUAGCAACAUCGUCAUAAUGUUUAGUCUUCAAAAUUAUGUUUUCCUUCAACACCACAAAUGUUAUCUAUACCAAGCUUCUUCUUCAGAUGGACAUGCCAGUAGUUUUUAAUGUCAUUAUCCGUCCUCCCAGGCACGUGUGCUGCAAUGGCAGCCCAUCUACACAUACACGAAAUUUAAAGUGUCAAAUGCAUUAACAUAAUAACAUAAAUUUAAUUAAAGAACAAAACAUUUCAAUUGAAAUCCUUAGAGCAUUUCCGAUGUGCUCUUUAAACAAGCUCUUAACUUUAAAUUUAAAGAGCAAGCCAAGAAUUAGAGCUUCAAUGGGCUCUUAGAGCAUCUCCAAUAGUCUCUUAGUUAGCUCCUAUAUAUAAUGUAAAAUAUUAAGCUCCCAGGAGGUUAAUACAUUACUAAGAGUUUGAACUCCAAUAAUGCUCUCUAUACACACUCCUAACACUAUAUUUUAUUAUUAUUUAAACUCCACUAUGACAAAAGUUCAAAGUCACAUGGGUGAGAGUGAAUAUUAAAUUAUAAAAAACAAGUUAAGAGCCAUGUAGUGGCUCUUAAAAAAGAGGAGAGAGAAGGGGCUCCUAGUAUUUUUAGGAGCCACUAAGAGCCUAUUGGAGCUCCAUUUUUUCUUAUCCUCUUUAUUUUUGAUUUUAAGAGCCAAUUUAAGAGGCUAUUGGAGAUGCUCUUAGAAACUCUUUAAAAAUUUAAGAGUGUACUCUCUCUCCAUUCUUUUAAAUAGCAUCUAGUAGCUCUUAACUCAAUAUAAUAUUAAUUUCCCUCCAAUCUUCUCUUUCUUUUGGUUGACUUUUUCCUCUCAUUUAUAUAAAAUAUAUAUAUAUAUGUAGAGUCAUGCUCCAUUAAGAACCAAUAUUAGCGUGAGAUAUGAGAUCCAAUCCUAACCACUCAUUUUAUAUCUUAUAUCAAUCUCUCAUCAUACAUUAAUUUUUAAUAUUUAAAUAUUUUAUCACUGUCUUUAUUCUAAUUCCACCACCUGCCACCUCCAACCACUACCGACCACCAUUUCCGGCGACCACCAGAAAAUCACCACCGUCAAACCAAAAAUCACCACCGGAAAACUAAAAAUCACUUCUGGAAAAAUGAAAAUUACCACCAGAAUAUGAAAACUACUACACCCAGCCAUUAUUCAUGCCCACCAGAUCCGGCCACCAACAUCGUUUAUAAACUCCGGUCAUCAACAUCAUGAAAAUAAUCACCAGAUUUUACUGGAAAUCGUAACAAUAAUCGGUACGUACCACCACAUCACCACUAUCACCAUCUACAAACCACCACCACUUUCUACAAAUCCCCCAAAUCUGAAAAAUCACUGAUUACAAAACAAAAUCACUAAAAAGGAACUCCGGCCACCAACAUAAUAACAAUAAUCACCAAAAACGCCAUCAUUCAUCACCGCCAUAAGCAUCUAUACAGACCACCACCAUCUACAAACCCUUCAAAUCAGAAAAAUCACCGAUUACAAAAUAAAAUCACUAAAAGUGAAUAAAAAUGAAUAACCUGCUACUUGAUAAUGCUUGAGGUGUCAGGAAUUAAUUAGGGAGAUUGUAAUCACCAAAUGGAGGUCGGAGAGUCGCCGGAAUGCUCCACCGAUGGACUCUCGUUUGCGAGAACGGGGAAGAGUAGAGGGGAGGCAGAAAGUGACGGGGAGAUAGGGAGGAGAUGAAAGGAGGAUGAGGUUUUGUAUAGUCAAGGAUGUGGAGUGGGGUUGCGAUGUCGCCGGCGGUGACAACACCACCGCGACAUCGGUGGUAGCAGCAAAGAAAGAGGCAGGAGGAAGAAGAGAUUGACGGGAAGGGGAGAAGGGAUUGCUUGCUGUUUGUGUAUGGCCGAGCCCAUCUCAGCAGCGGCGGAGAGAGGGGGUUGAGCCAUUGACGGCGAUGACGGCAACAGGGGGUUGGGGUUUUGAAGAGGUGAGAGAAGACAGUGGGUGAGUAGUGAGGAAGAUGGGUGGAUAAAAGAAUAUUUUAAAAUAGAAAUUGUGUGGUUGCGAUUUAAUUUAGGGGUAAACAUGUGUAGCUGAGAUUAGAUCUCACAUCUCACACUAGUUGGGGUUCUCAUUUGAGCACUUGCAUAUAUAUAUAUAUAUAUAUUAUGUAUUAACUUACUAGGAGCCACAUUUUAUAUUAUUGUUUAAGGAAUGAUUUAGGAGCACCGUUGGAGAUGCUCUUAACUGAUAUUUUUUAUAGUUAAUACUUUUAAAAAAGUAAUAAAAUUUUGUUUGACAUUUUUAUUAGCGGUUUUGAGAUUGUAUCAUUAAACACAUAGGCCAAUACAUUAUUCUUUUAAUUAGCCUAUUUAAAAGAUCAAGACAAAUGGGUAAAUAAAAGUGCUGCUACCGGUUGCUGAAAAAGACUUCAUUAGUUUCUUUACCAAUGUACAUUUUUGGUGUUGGUUGCUUUUCCUGUGAACUUGGAGAAGAAUUACUAUGGCAGUGCACCUCGUGUACACGACUAUUUACAAGCACGGCGCCAACAACUUACCCUUUGGGGGGAUUUACAAUCAUAUGGUGGCCUAAGACUAGAUGGCUUUCUCUUCCCUCAAGUCUUGCUCAAAAUAUUUCAGAUGCCAACUGAAAGUGCUCUGUCUAUGCCUUUUUGAACAACAUUGGUUCAUUUGUUACCUCAUGCCUACAAUCUUUAUCGACCCAGCAACUACGUUCCUCCACAUGUCAGUGGUACGUAUCUUUAUUCAAAUCCUGGUACAGAUUUUUACUCUGCUGCUUGGGAUAUUAUCAUUCCACUAGGAGGUUUGUUGCUUGUUGGAAUCAUAUUUUCGCAGCAAAGAUAUGGUGGCCGAGUUAUCCUUCCUAAGAAAUUCAGGGAGUUGGAAAUGUAUGCAAAAGUGCCAGCAAUUAGUACCUAAUGCUUAAUGAGGAUGUUGCUUAUCUGGUUCAGUAAUUUCUUAAUGUAUGGUUGCUGCAUGUGUGCUUUUUAUUUAUCUCAAAAUGAUGUUUGUUUCUUAAUAUUGGUAAUUUUAUUGCAUUUCCGGCCAUUUCUACAUGACUUUUGUUCGGUUGGUAGACUUUUUGGAAUAAAAUUUUUCUUUUACUUUCUUUGAUCCGCGUAUCCUGAUGUUUCUUUGGGGUAUUUUUUUCCAAACGCUUAGGUUUUAUAUUUAUAUUUUUGUGGGAUAUUUUUGCAUACUCUCUGAUUAGAUAAAAGAUUUUUAUGAAAGAAGUCUACCUUUUUUGAUGUUGUAUUUUGGCAAAAUUCAUUGACGUAAAAAUCUUAUGAAAAAAAUGACAAUAAUAUUUGAUGAAUUGUAGGACAAGGUAUAAGAAAGCUUGAUUUUUAUGGAUUAAUUGAUGUAAAAUCUUAUAGAAUUGACGCGAGUGUAGUCGGAUUUUGGCAUAUUUUUUCUAAACUCUUGUAGAUUUUUGAGAGAUUUUCAAAAUUAUAAAAUACACUAGUAAAACCAUCAAAAUUCACUAUUCUCAGAUAAAGAAAAAUUUCGUCUUUUGUUGAGUAUCAUCAAUUUUUAUGAUAUUUAAAAUUUUAAUUCAAUAUCACGAGAUUUUAAAAAAUUAUUUCUCAUCCUUGUUUAAUAUCACGGGAUUUAAUCAAUUAAUGUUGGUUAAAUAAUUUUGAGAAUAACGUGAAGCAAAUAUAUCGUUCAAAAUAUUGAUUAUAUAUUUUAUAAAAAUCUUAAAGUUUUUUUAGAGAUUUCUAAAAUUAUAACAUAUAUUAAUAAAUCCAUUGGAAUUCUCUACUAUAAAAUCCAAAAAAAGAAAAAACAUCACUUUUUAAGUGGGUGUAUCCGAUUUGGAUUUUAAAUGAUUUUUUUUAAUUCAUCAAAUCUGAGGAUAUUCAAUUAGGAUCUAUUAAAAUUUUGAGAUAUUUAAUUGUGAUUUUCAAUUAUUCUACAAUAUCUUGUACUAUUCAAUAAGUUUAUAUAGAUUCUUCAGAAUUCAAGUACAACACUUUAAAAUCUCAUGAAUUUUGGUGGGAUUUCAAAAAAACUUAAAAUAUAUUGAGAAAUCUUACAAAAUUUAUCAUAAAUUCAAAAAAAAAAUAUCAGCAUUGAAAUAUUAUAAAUUUUAAUGAAUUUUAAACAAUCUUAAUUGGAUACCAUCUAAUUUUAAACAUAAUUUAAAUUUCUGAUUAAAUACCACCAGAUUUUAUAAAAUAAAAUCUUAAUUAAAUAUGCGAAGAUUUUAAACUAUUUAAUUAAAUAUUCUCAGAUUUCAUGAAUGAAAAAAAUCUUUUAAAAUCUCGAAUCUAAUAUAGUUUUGGGUUAAAAUAACUUUUUUUCUCUUUCAGGGAGUUAAAAUAACUAUUGAUAAUAUAUCUGAAUUGAAUAUACCUUGGGGAGGAGUUGAAUAUCUCUUUGUACGGGAGAUAUCUUUCUUGUUCUUAUUUAUUGCCAUUUUACUGUUGUAAUUUUUGAACAUAAUUUAAUAUUCUAAUUGAAUAUCAUCAGAUUUCAUCACAUGAUAUAAAAUCUCAAUUGAAUAUUUCAAUAUUUUAAUAAAUUUUAAAUAAUCACAAUUAAUACUUUCAAAAUUUGUGAAUGAAAAAAUCUUUUAAAAUCUCAAUUGAAUAUAACGUCUUAUUUGAAUUGAAUAUUCAAUUGAAACAUCGGAUUUUUAAACAUAAUUUAAUAUUCUGAUUGAAUAUCACCAUAUUUCAUCACAUGGUAUAAAAUCUUAAUUGAAUAUCUCAAGAUUUUAAUAAAUUUCAAACAAUCUCAAUUAAUACUACCUCCGUCCCUUUUUACUUGUCACCUUUGUUAUUGUGCUGGUCAAAUUGAUUAAAACUUGACUGAAAUUUAUAAAUAUUUUAUCAACUGAAAAAACAAAAAAAAAUAUGUCAUCGAAAAUAAUUUUUAAUCUACACUAAGAUGUAAAGUUCAGUUUUUUAAUAUAAUAAAAAAGUGACUGAUAAUUUUUGGUCAAAAGUUAGUCAAUUUGAUCAAUAAAAAUAAAUAUAAAACAAUUAAAAAGCAAAAUAUCUUUAAAAUCUCGAUUGAAUAUUCCUUCAUACGAAUUGAAUGCAGCUCAAAAUCACAUCACAUAUAUAUAUAUAUUUUGAAUUAUUUCAAUCGCUGUGUUUUUGUGUCUCCUCCUCUUAAAAAAAUAAAAUGGCGAUACAACUUACAGGAUUGCAAACAAGUCACGGCAGAGUCACGGUUGAUAUUACAAAUUAGUGUUAAUCGGUAAGAAGUUAUGAAUUAAUUUCUUUAAGUUCGCUGUUUAAAUCCCUCUUUGCCCCCCCUCCUCUCUCCUUUUCAAGAUUAGGGUUUUUACAAUUCAUAAAAUUGAUUGUUGUAAACUGGGUUCCUGAAUUCAGGUCUUAAAUAGAAGGUGGAAGGUUAAAAUCUGUGAUAUUUAUAUAUCAUAAUUCAGAAUUGUGAUUAACAAUUUACUCCUGAGACUCCUAAGCCUUGAGGUAUGUAUAACUUAUUUACUCGAGUACUUAACCCUCUGUUCCACUGCCUAAUUGUGCUUGAUUGUUAGAGUUUAUUACUUAAUUGCUUUGGAGUUUAAAUCUUAUACCCUUGGACUGUGAAUAAAUGUGUUUCAGAUAUGGUGAAACUGAAACGCAAUCUCGGUUCUUUCUUUAAAAGCUGAUAUGUAAUAAUGACAUCCGAAUCUUGUCGAAAUGGUAAAUGAUAGUCCAUUAUCGUAAUUUUCCACUGGUUUCAGAAUUUCUGUUGCAUAUUAGUAAUUAUUUUGCACUGUUGUCUGUUCCAGGUACUGAGUGAUGUAAUGAAGCACUUCAAAAACUUAAAAAGAAGUAUGAUGUUGUUGUCAAUGUACAAGGGGAUGAACCACUCAUUGAACCUGAAAUUCUUGAUGGGAUUGUUAAAGCAUUGCAGGUUAAUUUGCUAUAUUGAGAAUUAUUCCAUUUUUAUGAACUAUCAGAUAGAUCAUUCUUUUGUUCAGCUUAAUAUUUAAAUAUUAUUGUAGAGUAUUGACAUUAAGUUGUCGUUUAAAGGUGUACAAAAAUAGUAGUACCAGGAUGAACUUAUUUUCCUCCCUUUUUCACAUCGUAAGUUGCUUACCUUUCAGUUUAUAUUAUAUUGUUUAGGCUGCUCCUGCUGCAGUUGUUAGCACUGCUGUGACAGCCUUAGCACCCAAAGAUGCUUUUGAUCUGAAUCGUGUGAAAUGUGUGGUGGAUAUCACUUAUCAGUGGUUAUGCAAGUUAAUUGUCACGAGGAUUGAUUCCUUAUAACAAGUCAGUAUAAUUGCUAUGUUACACCUGGCACUCUGACUUCAGAUUAACCCUUUUGUUCUUUAACGUCUUGCUGGAUGUAUUUAGCUUUUGAAUGUAGGUCAGGGAAAGACACUCCGAAAUUUCCGUACAUGCUUCACCAUGGAAUUCAGGUACUUCAAUAUUCUUAUUAUGUAUUACUAGGCAGUCUCUGUAUUGAUGCAGUAAUGCUAGGUUUUUAAUCUUGUACAAAGUUUAGAUACAAAGUUCCUCAAAUUAUAUUCAGAGCUCCUGCCGACCCCUCUGCAACUAGAUGAAGAUCUGGAACAAUUAAAAUUCCUGGAGAAUGGAUACAAGAUGAAGGUGAAGAUCUGGAACAAUUAAAAUUCCUGGAGAAUGGAUACAAGAUGAAGGUGUGUUUCUAAUUGGGUAACAUUCAUUUUCUCGAUAUUGUCAUAUCAUAUCCCUACUCUUUUAUGUUUCACCAAGAAUCUGAUGGCGGUUGCCGCCGGUGCUCAUCUCCAAUGAGGUAAUAGAUUCAGGAGCCAUGUGGUCGGGAUUACCCGCCAAAUAAACUUACUCGUGCUUCGAGAUGAAGCCUCUCAUUAAAAUCCUCGGCAGGCCCAUGAUCCAGGUCCGGCCCACUUGCUAUUUCUACACCUCAAUUAUUAUAUAUUUGUUGUUUAGGUUGACCCUUUGACUUUCUUGUGAUCGUGUAAAUAUAAUGAAUAAUGAUCGUAGUAAUGUCUAAUGUGCAGACAACAGGUCGAGGAUUUAAGUCUUGUCAUAGUGAGAGUGUUGGAUAUAAUUUAGGAAAUAGAGUUCUCGUUUAGUUUGCUACACAUAGGCUUCAUUUGUUUAGAUUUGAGGAAAUGCAGUAAUGUUAACAUACAUUAUGCUUUUUUUAUAUUCGUAUUAUUUAGCUAUUCAACUUUUUUGUAAGUAUUUAUAAUAAGAAUAAUUAAUUAAUCAAAAUAAAAUAAAAUUGGGAUUUAAUUCUAUUUUCAAAUUGAUAUAUCUAGUACACAAUAUUUGUUAUAAAUAUUAUAAAAUAUUUUCCGGCAAUGACUAUAAAUGAAUAAUAAAUUCUAAAAUAAGAACAAAAAGUUAUUUAUCAUAUGUAUACGAUUUUGGGACCCUAAGCAAACUGAGGCACCGUGCACAUCAGCACGUACACGAAAUUUAAAUAAAUUUUAAAGUGUCAAAUCCAUUAACAUGGUAACAUUGAACUGAAAUCUUUAACUAAUAUUUUUUAUAGCAAUACUUUUAGAGUAUUCACAACUUUUAAAAAUGUAUUAAAAUCGUGUUUAACAUUUUAUUAGCGGCUUUGAGAUUGUGUCAUAAAACACAUAGGCCAAUACAUUAUUCUUUUAACUGUCCCAUUUAAAAGACCAAGACAAAUGAGUCAAUAAAAGAGCAGUUACCGGUUGCCAUUUAGAGUUUGAUGAUUGAUAAUUAUUUUAUCUUCGUGGGGUAAACUUUCCCGUUUGAUAUCAAGGCUAAGAUAAUUCACCCACCUCAAUUUGAGUUCUUACCAUAUGCAACCUGGUAAAUUACAGAAUUAAUCAAGAUAUAUAACCAAGUACAAACUCACCCAAACUGAGAAAUAAAUUAAUAGCACUUUAUGGCGAAAACAAAGGACCUAUAUACCAACAAUUUUAGGAACGUCUGUCAAAUAGCAUGUACCAUGUUCUUGGACAUAAACACCAACUUGCUAUCUUCUUCAGAAAUCCAUGCUCCUUUCUUAAUCUCUUCCAUUCUCUCAGCUGACCUCCCUAUCUUUCUUUCUCCUUCUUUUAGAUUAUAUAUAUGUAAGAGAUAUGAACAAACUCCAUAAAUGAGUUGCAUAUUGAGUUGAUUUUUAUAGAUAUAAACCAACUAUUUUACAUUUUCUUACAAAAGUAAGGAUUUUUUCCUCUCGGGUCGAGAUAUUAUUUUAUAUAUACGGAUUAUUAUCCCUUGGUCCGAGACACAUGAAAACAAUAUUACAUUCAAAUUAAUUGAUUUUUUAAGUAGAAGCCAAAGUUUUUUCUUGUCAAGCGUACAUUAUAUGGAAUAUAUUCUUGUACGAGUAAUGUACCUCUCAAGUAUGUACACCUGACAAGAAAAAAACUUUGGUUUGUACUAGAAAAAUCAAUUAAUGAAUAUAAUAUUGUUAUCAUGUGUCUCGGACCAAGGGAUAAUAAUCUGUAAAUAUUAAAUAAUAUCUGGGCCCGAGGGGAAAAAAUCUUUACGUUUGUAAGAAUAUGUAAAAUAGGUUGUUUAUGUCUCUAAAUACCAACUCAAUAUUCAACUCAUUUCUACAUUUUUUUUCGUAUCUUUUACGGAUAUAUAUUGUCAGAUAUAAAUUGAAAUAAAUAAGGAGGUCAGUUAACAGAAUGGAUGGAAGAGACAAAGGAACAUGGAUUUCUGAAGACGAAAGCAUGUUGGUGUUUCACGUCCAAGAACAUGGUACAUGCAAUUGGACGGUUGUUCCUAAAAUUGUUGGUAUUCAUGUUUUGUUUUUUGCUACAUUGUACUAUUAAUUUAUGUCUUAUUUUUAUAUAUCCUUUUUAGUUUUGUAAUUUGCCUAAUUAGUUUGUAUUGAAUUCAAUGUUGUUUCAUUAGUUAAAACAAUUGCUUUCUCUUGACUAUUUUGUUGAGUAGUUAUCAAAAUCCCUAUUAUUGCAUUUUUAUACAUCUGGUCAUAGUAGACCUUUGCCUAGUCUAAUCCACCGAUAGUGCCAACAUAGUCAUAAUGUUUAUAGUCUUCAAAAUUAUGUGUUCUUUCAGCACCACAACUAUUAACUUCACCACGCUUCUUCUUCAAAUGGACAUACAGUAGUUUUUAAUGUCAUUAUCCGGAUGACCAGGCAGGUUUGCAAUAAGGCACAUACACGAAAUUUAAAUAAAUUUUAAAUUGUCAAAUCCAUUGACAUGGUAACAUAGAUUUAAAUAAAGAACAAAACAUUUCAACUGAAAUCCUUAACUAAUAUUUUUUUUAUAGCAAUACUUUAAGAAAAGUUACUACUUCUAAAAAAGUAUUUAAAUCCUGUUUGACAUUUUUAUUAUCGGCUUUGAUAUUGUGUCAUGAAACACAUACCAAUACAUUAUUCUUUUAAUUUUCCCAUUUUAAAGGCCAAGACAAAUGAGUAAAUAAAAGAGCCGUGACCGGUUGACAUUGAGAGUUUGAUGAUUGAUAAUUAUUUUAUCUUCCUCGGGGGUAAAAUUUUCCCGUUUGAUAUUAGGGCUAAGAUGAUUAACCCACCUCAAUCUGCAGCUCUUACCAUAUACAAGGUAAAUUACAAAAUUAAUCAAGAUAUAUAACCAAGUACAAACUCACCCAAAAUGAGAAUUAAAUUAAUAGCACUGUAUGGCGAAAACAAAGGACCUAUAUACCAACAAUUUUAGGAACGUCUGUCCAAUAGCAUGUAACAUGUUCUUGGACAUAAGACACCGGUUUGCUAUCUUCUUCAGGAUUGCAUGCUCCUUUCUUUUUCUCUUCCAUUCUCUCAGCUGACCUCCCUAUCUUUCUUUAUCCUUCUUUUGGACUAUAUAUGUAAGAGAUAUGAACAAACUCCAUAUAUGAGUUGCAUAGUGAGUUGGUAUUUAUAGAUAUAAACCAACUAUUUUACAUAUUCUUACAAAAGUAAGGAUUUUUUUCCCUCGGGUCGAGAUAUAUAUAUAUAUAGAUUAUUAUUCCUUGGUCCCAGACACAUGAAAACAAUAUUAGAUUCAAAUUAAUUGAUUUUUCUAGUAGAAGCCUAAGUUUUUUCUUGUCAAGCGUACAUUAUAUGGAAUAUAUUCUUGUACGAGUAAUGUACCUCUCAGGUAUGUACACCUCAAGAAAUUUUUUUGGUUUAUACUAGAAAAAUCAAUUAAUUUGAGUAUAAUAUUGUUUUCAUGUGUCUGGGACCAAGGAAUAAAAAUCUGUGAAUAUUAAAUAAUAUCUGGGCCCGAGGGGAAAAAAUCUUUACGUUUGUAAGAAUAUGUAAAAUAGUUUGUUUAUGUCUCUAAAUACCAACUCAAUAUUCAACUCAUUUCUACAGUUUUUUCCAUAUCUUUUACACAUAUAUAUAGUCAAACAGAAAUUGAAAGAAAGAUAAGGAGGUCAGUUAACAGAAUGGAAGAGACAAAGAAAGGAACGUGGACUUCUGAAGACGAAAGCAAGUUGGUGUUUAACGUCCAAGAACAUGGUACAUGCAAGUGGACGGCUGUUCCUAAAAUUGCUGGUAUUCAUGUUUUUUUUUUGCUAGAUUGUACUAUUAAUUUAUUUUUUAGUUGAGUUUGUAUUUGGUUAUAUAUCCUUAUUAAUUUUGUAAUUUGCCCAAUUAGUUUGUGUCGAAUUCCACGUUGUUUCAUUUGUUAAAACAAUUGUUUUCUCUUGACUAUUUUGUUGAGUAGUUAUUAAAAUCCCUAUUAUUGCAUUUUUAUAAAUCUUGUCAUAGUAGACAUGUGCAUAGUCUAAUCCACCAAUAGUGUCAACAUCUUCAUAAUGUUUAUAAUCUUUAAAAUUAUGUGUUCUUUCACCACCACAACUCUCAACUUCACCAAGCUUCUUCUUCAGUUGGACACAUGCUAGUAGUUUUUAUUGUCAUUAUCCGGAUGACCAGGCAGGUGUGCAGUAAUGGCAGCCUAUCUGCACAUACAUGAAAUUUAUAUAAAUUUUAAAGUGUCAAAUCCAUUGACACAGUAACAUAGAUUUAUAUAAAGAACAAAACAUUUCAACUGAAAUCCUUAACUAAUAUUUCUUAUAGUAGUACUUUUAGAAAAGUUAUUACUUUCAAAAAAGUAUUAAAAUCUUGUUUGACAUUUUUAUCAUGGGCUUUGAUAUUGUGUCAUUAAACACAUAGGCCAAUACAUUAUUCUUUUAAUUGUCCCAUUUUAAAGACCAAGACAAAUGAGUAAAUAUAAGAGUCCUGACUAGUUGCCAUUGAGAGUUUGAUGAUUGAUAAUUAUCUUAUCUUCCUGGGGCCCGGGGGUAAAAUUUCCCCGUUUGAUAGCAGGGCUAAGAUGAUUUACCAACCUCAAUAUGCAGCUCUUCCUAUAUGCAACCCUGGUAAAUUACAAAACUAGUGAGGAUAUAUAACCAAAUACAUUCUCCAAAAAUGAGAAAUAAAUUAAUAACACAAUUUAGCAAAGAAAAAGUACAUAUAUACUAGCAAUUUUAGGAACAUUUGUCGAAUUGCAUGUACCAUGUUCUUGGACGUAAGACACCAACUUGCUAUCUUUUUCAGGAGUUCACGCUCCUUUCUUUGUCUCUUCUGCUCUCAACUGACCUCCUUAUUUUUCUUUCUCCUUUUCGACUAUAUAUAUUUAAGAGAUAUGAAAAAAUUGCAGAAAUGAAUUGCAUGUUGAGUUGGUAUUUAUAGAUAUAAACCAACUAUUUUACAUAUUCUUACAAAAGUAAAGAUUUUUUUUCCCUCGGGCCUAGAUUUUAUAUAAUAUUUACAUAUUUUUAUUUGUUGGCCCUAGUUACAUGAAAACAGUAUUUAUAUUCAAAUUAAUUGAUUUUUCUAGUAGAAACCAAAGUUUAUUCUUGUCAAGCGUACAUUUUAUGGAAUAUAUUCUUGUACGAGUAAUGUACCUCGGGUAUGUACACUCGACAAGAAAAAACUUAAGUUUGUACUAGAAAUAUCAAUUAAUUUGAAUUUAAUAUUGUUUUCAUGUGUCUUGGCCAAGAAUAAAAAUUUGUUAUAAUUAAAUAAUAUCUAGGCCCGACGGAAAAAAAUCUUUACUUUUGUAAGAAUAUGUAAAAUAGUUGGUUUAUUUCUAUAAAUACCAACUUAAUAUGCAACUAAUUUCUGCACUUAAUAUGCAACUAAUUUCUGCAGUUUUUUUAUAACUUUUACAUACAUAUAGUCAAAAAGAAAUUGAAAGAGAAAUAAGGAGGUUAAUUGACAGAAUGAAAGAGAUAAAGGAAGGAACAUGAACUUCUGAAGUCGAGAGCAAGUUGGUGUUAUAUGUCCAAGAACAUAGUACAUGCAAUUGGAGAACCCUUCCUAAAAUUGCUGGUAUAUAUGCAACUUUUAUUUGCUAAACUAUUCUAUUAAUUUAUGUAUCAGGUUAUAUAUCCUUAUUAGUUUUGUAACUUACCUAAUUAGUUUUGUAAUUAACAUGGUUACAUAAAUUAGCAUUUCAAAUGAAAUCCUUAACUAAUAUUUUUUUUAUAGCAAUACUUUUAAAAAAGUAUUAAAAUCAUGUUUGACAUUUUUAUUAGCGGCUUUGAGAUUGUGUCAUUAAACACAUAGGCCAAUACAUUUUUCUUUUAAUUGUCCCAUUUAAAAGAUCAAGACAAAUGAGUAAAUAAAAGAGCCGUUAUCAGUUGUCAUUGAGAGUUUAAUAGUUUGAUGACUAAUAAUUAUCUUAUAUUUCUCAGAGGUAAAAUAUCCUCGUUUGAUAUUAGGGCUAAGAUAAUUCACCCACCUCAAUCUGCAGUGUUAUCAUUCUUAUGCCCAGGUAAGUUACAAAACUAAUCAGGAUAUAUAUAUUCAAAUACAAACACACCCAAAAUGAGACAUAUUUUAAUAGCACAUGCACAUCAUAGCAAAAAAAAGUACAUAUAUACGAGCAAUAUUAGGAACGGCAGUCUAAUUGCAUGUAUGUAACAUGUUCUUGGCCGUAAGUCACUAACUUGCUAUCUUCUUCUAAAGUCCAUGCUCCAUUCAUUGUCUCUUCCUUUCUCUCAUCUCACCUCAUUAUAUCUCUUUCUCUUUCUCAUCAACUAUAUAUAUGUAAAAGAGAUGAAGAAAUUGUAGAAAUGAGUUGCGUUUUGAGUUGAUAUUUAUAAAUAUAAACCAACUAUUUAACCUAUUCUUACAAGAGUAAAGUUUUUUUCCCCUCUCGGGCCCAAAUAUUAUUUAAUUUUUAUGGAUUUUUAUUACUUGACCCCAGACAUAUGAAAACAAUAUUAUAUUCUAAUUAAUUGAAUUUUCUAUUAUGAAACAAAGUUUUUUCUUGUCAGGUGUACAAACUCGAGUAGUUCUUGAAUGAAAGAAAUUUCUAUGGAAUAUAUUCUUGUACAUGAAAAAAAUUCCUCUCUUUGGAAUAUAUUCUUGUAUGAGUAAUGUACCUCUCGAAUAUGUUCACCUGACAAGAAAAAAACUUUGGUUUGUACUUGAAAAAUCAAAUAAUUUGGAGAUAAUACUGUUUCCUUGUGUCUGGGGUGGAGGAAUAAAAAUUCGUAAAUAUUAAAUAAUAUAUGGGUCCGAGGCAAUUACUUUUUUUAAGAAUAGGUAAAAUAGUUGGUUUUUAUCUAUAAAUACCAACUCAUUUCUGCAGUUUUUUCAUAUAUUUUGCAUAUAUAUAGUCGAAGAGAAGGUGAAAGAGAAAUAAGGAGGUCAGUUGAGAGGAUGAAAGAGACAAAGAAAGGAACAUGGACUUCUAAAGAAGAUAGCAAGUUGGUGUCUUACGUCUAAGAACAUGGUACAUGCAAUUAGAUAGCCGUUCCUAAAAUUGCUGGUAAAUAUGUACUACUUUUUCUUCUUUUUUUUUGGCAAUACCGUGCUAUUAAUUUUUGGUGAGUUUGUAUUUGGUUAUAUAUCCUGACUAGGUUUGUAAUUUACCUGGUUGCAUAGGAAUGGUAAGAACUACAGAUUAAGGUGGGUGAAUCAUCUCAGCCCUAAUAUCAAACGGGGAAAUUUUACCCCCAAGGAAAAUAAGAUAAUUAUCCGUCAUCAAACUCUCAAUGACAACCGGUAACGGCUCUUUUAUUUACUCAUUUGUCUUGAUCUUUUGAUGGGAUAAUUAAUGUAUUGGCCUUUGUAAUGACACAAUCUCAAAGCCGCUAAUAGAAAUGUCCAACAAAAUUUUAAUACUUCUCUAAAAGUAGUAACUAUUCCAAAAGUAUAGUUAAAACAAAAGGGUCUUGUUCCCUGACAUAUGGUUGUCAGGGAACGGUUAUUUGACACAUGGUGCCACAGCCGUUGGAUCGAUGAUCCAACGGCUGUGGCAAAAGAAAACAUUUUUUCCUAUCCGCGCUUAAAAACCGCGGACACUGUGUCUAUCCGCGCUUUUUUGCGCGGACACAUACCCUUUCCGCGGUAAAAAACCGCGGACAUUCCAGAAUGUUUUGCACGCACACUUUAUAACCUAGGUGAUCAACUUCACUUGUGUUGAUCUUGUUUUGGAAAGUGCAGUGGUGAUUUUGUUGAUCUUUUAGGCAAGAAUCUGAUCCAUCUUCCAUCUUUGUCUUGGGUAAGCUUAAUUUGUAGUAGUGUUUUGUUGAUUUUGUUUGUACAAUAAUGGAUAAAAUGUUUGCAAGAUUUGAAGGUAGAAAAAGUUUGAAAAAAACCAAGAAUGUUGAUGUACAUGAUGAUAAGGUUGAAUGUGGUCAUGAUAGAGACAAUAUUAAGUAUGUUGAAGUUGUUGAUAGUGAUGAUGAGGAGUUAGUUAGUGAAGAAUUUGAUGAAAGUGAUAAAAUGUAUGAUGAUAUAGGUAGUAUGCAUGAAAGUAGUGGUAAUUUGCAUGAUCAUGGUGAGGAUAAUGUUGAUGGAGAUGACCCUAUUAUUAUUCCCCACUUGAAUCAACAAUUUCCUAAUUUACAAGCCGGGGAGAAUAUGUUUAGGGCGUAUGCUUUAAAGAAUGGUUUUGCAAUUAAGAUACAAAACACACAGAAGCGUGCCAAAGAUAAAUCCAUAUAUGGUCGAUUGUAUGUUUGUAAUUUAGCGGGAGAAACUCGUGGGAAAAACCCCGUUGAUGACGAUGAAAUUUUGAUUGGUAGUCUUGGUAGUGUUAAGGGCAAACGGCGUAGAGAUGUGCUUCCUAGGAGUGGUUGCAAAGUUAGAAUGUACUUGGUUAAUAAGAAAAAAACAAGUCAUUGGGAGAUAACCGGUUUGGAAUUAGAACACAAUCACCAAGUUGUUACCCCUUCUAAGAUGAGUUUGAUAAGACGGGAGAAACGUGUUAGCGCGGCACAAAAAAAUUUGAUCAAGAGCUUACAUGUUUCGGGUGUCCAACCAAGACAACAAAUGAAUAUAUUUGGUAAAAUGCACGGAGGAGCGGAACAAGUAGGUUUUAACAGCCAAAAUUUAAGAAAUGUCGUACGUGAUUUUAGGAAGGACAACAUGGGAGUUAAUGAUGCUCAAGCCGGUUUGGAUUUGUUGUACCGUUUGCAAGAAGAGAGCGGCGGUAAGUUUUUCAUCAAGACUCUCCUCGAUGACGAACAAAGAUUGAAGUGUCUUGUAUGGGUCGAUCCCCGCUCUUUGAUGGCCUACAAAAACUUCGGUGAUGUGGUUGCGUUUGACACUACAUAUCGAACUAAUAGGUAUGCUAUGCCGUUUGUGCCUUUCACCGGAGUCAACCAUCACUAUCAAUCAAUACUUUUUGGUUUUGCACUCGUUCGGGAUGAAUUGAAGACAACUUUUGAGUGGGUUUUGAGUACUUGGCUAGAAGCAAUGAAGGCAAAUACCCUUGGUUAUCAUAACCGAUCAAGAUCAAGCCAUGGCCGCGGCUAUUGAAUCACAACUUCCGAACACAUCACAUUUGUUAUGCUCAUGGCACAUUAGCAACAAAUUCCCCGAGAAACUUGCAACAUAUUAUUCGAAGGAAGGGUUUAAAUUUGAUUUCAACAAUUGCAUAUAUCACUCUUUGACUGAAGUUGUGUUUGAAGAUCGGUGGAAUGCUUUGGUUUUGAAGUACAAUUUGGAAGGCAAUACAUGGCUUCAAGGGUUAUAUGCUUUGAAGCAUAAGUGGGUCGAGGCUUACACAAGAAACACUUUUUCUGCGGGUCAAAAGACCACAUCAAGAAGUGAAGGAAUGAAUGCAUAUUUCGAUGCCUAUGUUGGUUCUUGCACCGGUUUGAAAGAUUUUGUAGAGGGUGCACAAAAAGCUUUGGAGAGGCAAUUCAUGCGUGAGAAAGACGAGGAUUAUGUGACGUUUCAUAGAAGUCGUUGCAUGCAAAUGAAAACCGCUCUGGAGCACCACGCAGCUUCCAUUUAUACGAAAGAAAUGUUUCGAAGAUUUCAGGAACAAUUGGUUGAAUCAUCUAAGUACUUUGUGGAGAAAGAUAGAGAUCGGUCCUUGGAAGAUGUUCAAGACACGUUCUACAAAUGUUAUAGACCGUUGAUGCGUGCUUCUCAGAGAAACACGUAUCUUGUAUCAUUCAACAAGGUGUCAUUAUGGGGUUCAUGCAUUUGUAAAAUGUAUGACAAUGUUGGCAUACCAUGCCGUCACAUUAUUGCCGUCUUGACGAAGAGGUGUGUGGCGGAACUACCGGAACAUUUUGUGAAACGGCGUUGGACAAGGGACGCCAAUAGAGUUGAUGGCAAGUUGCCAUAUCACACGUCCGAAUUUCAAUCACCAUCUCAUGAAAUGACUCCCACGGAAAGAUUCAACCACAUGACAUUACUUACCAUGGCGUUUAGUCAUAGUUGCAUGGCAUCGAAAGAGCGGUAUGAGUAUGCCGUUGGGGUUAUUAAUCGGGAAACAGAAAUACUUGAGAGCAUGCCCGUUGACGGGGUCGAAAAUGAAGGAGGUGAAUUAAAUCCAAAAACAACUCAAGAAGGUGGUGAGAAAUUGCAUGAGAGUAUCCUUGACCCCUUGGUGUCGAAAACAAAGGGACGGAAAAAAGAGCACCGCUUUAAAAGCCCCGUUGAGGAACUUACAAAAACAAAAAGAAAAUGCCGAUAUUGCAAUAUGUUGGGACAUGAUGUUAGGACGUGUCCCAAAAAAAAAGAAGAUGAUUUAAGAAAAGCUCAAACUGGCCAAUUGUAAUUCACAUUUUAGAAAAAUUUCUCUUAUGUUUUACUUGUGGUUUAUUUGUCCUUCGUAUGAGUUGGUGUAACUAACUUGUUCUUUGUUGGAUUUGUAGGUGAAAUGGCCGACGGUUCGGAUGAUGAGUCAGUGUCACACGUCAGCAACUCAAUCUCGGACUCGGAAGAAAUGUGUGAUUCACCUAGUUUUAGCUUCUUGGAGGACGCGAUUCGUGAGCUCGACGAACUUGCAGAAAUGUACGAACCACCAUCCCACUCGGAAGAAAUGUGUGAUUCACCUAGUUUUAGCUUCUUGGAGGAAGCAAUUCAUGAGCUAGACGAAUUGGCACAGAUGCACGAACCACCUCCCCAAUUGGAGGAAGAAGACACCGAGUUGUACCCGCCUGAGGAAGCGGCCUACCGGUCAAGAAAUUGGACCGAAGCUUGUCAGUGGUGUGCAAGCGAUAACAUGUUCGAAAGGGUGGCUUAUAACUUGACCCCAUAUUUUCUACCUAUUUUGAACUUGGGUAAGGACUAUCCCGACGGGCCAAACAAAGUAUCGUUGUGGGAUGGUGGUGAUAUUGUGACGUGUGAUAGGAUAGCCGACAUUAUGAAGUUGAGGCCUCGCCCGGGUUGCACGCGUGACCAAAUGCGAAUUGAAUAUGUCAAGGGGUGGGUGUCCAACCUUCGUGGUGAUGAUACGGGAAAAUGGAUAACGCGCAAAGAACCAUGGAGCAAAUUUCGUCUCUACGAUGGGUCUAAUAGCAUUCAUGUCACACUAUGGAAUGAUCACAAUACGCAUGCCAAUGUGACCGAAGGUGUGCUCCGUGAAGGUUGUGUUGUUGUGCUGUAUUGGGUGGCAUGCUUCAUUAGAGCCGAUGCGACGCCCGGGCAUUCCACACACCGACUAUCGGGAGGCUUCUCCAACAUUUUAGCAGUGUUUAGUUAGUUAGCUUCCCCGUACCGGAUUAAUGUUGAUUUCAGGUUUUAUAUGUAUUUUUGUGUAAUCGCAACAAAAUAGACACCGUUCGAUGUAUUAUUGACAUUGAAAUGACAAUAUUAUGUAGUAAUUUCUUUGUUAGUGCUAACAUUGUCAAAAUGGUACGAGGUUUUGUCAUUACUUCAAUUAUGGUGUUUCUAGUCUAUUGUAAUUUAUUUAUGAUUUUUGAACGUGUCUAUUCGCGGCAAUAUGCAUGCAAAGUUCACAAAAUUGUUCAAAGUGGUCAUUUUCCAAACAAAUGGCAAUAGGUAAUGAAAACUUAUUGUAUGAACUUUUAAAAGUCAUAAUGUGGUUAAGGGGUCCUAGAAGAGUAUAUAUGAGCAUGAAAGACAGUAAGAGGAGCUGAAAAAAAAAAUAUUCCCACUGGAAUAUCCGCGGUAAAUAACCGCGGACACUCCAGUCCAUCCGCGGUUUUUUAGCGCGGAUACUCCAGUGGUGACAGGUUGAAUGUGCAGUCUGUUUCUGCACAUUCCCACCUGUUUUCAACAGUGUCAAACAGUUCAAAUUACAUACAAACCUGAAUAAACAGCAUUCCAACAACAAUCUCCCAAAGAAAAAUUUGACCAAAUUUUUCGAAGCCUUCAAAUAUGCCCCAAAACGUCAAAAAUUCUCAAACAUCCAAAAAAUGAGCAUACUCCAAAAAUUCUCAAAUUUAAUCACAAGAUAGAGAUUGACAUUCCUAACAAUAUGCAAUAAAGGGGCGGGGGAAACUCAAACGAGAAACACAUAAACAAAAAUUGAAUGAAAGGGGUCGGGGGGUGGACACGGUCGAUAAACGACCGAUAUAAUCAACAACCAAGAUAUAUUGAGAUUGAAAUAAAGUAAACUACAUCGUUCAACUUGAAUAUAUAUAACGUAAAUGUCAUAAACUACGAAAAUGUCAUAAACUACGAGACUAAGAAAAUGUCAUAAACUACGAAAAUGUCCUAUUCCUUGGCUCCUUCUAGCCUUUGCCGCAUAAGAUGACUAGGGAUUCGCCUCGCUCUCCCUUUCUGAAGCUCUUUUGCAAUCCUAAAGCGGAAUAGGUCAACAUCCGAAGUAUCCCACGUCAAGGUGGAGAGGUCAUAACCUUGCAAGGUGUAGUCCAUGUACUUGCAGACGAAGACCCCGCAAUCAAAAUGAUUUUGCUGCUUCGGCAUCUCAUCCCAAACAUGAACUAGAGGGUCCUCUUGCGGGAACUUUUGACCCUUGGCAAGAAAACGAAGCAUCCCUCCAAGUACACCGACCUACAAACAACAAAAACAUGAAAACAAACAUCAGAACAAAACCAUCAUGUAUAUUAGUAGAAGAGGAGUGAAGGAUUUAGUACCAUUGCUUCUUCUUCGUCUGGAUAUUCAGACUUAUCGUUAUAAGGAUCGAGAACCAUGAUAGCCCACUUCUUCACAGCAAAGACCAUGAGAAUCCAGUGAUUGUCAUUGACAUUUGUGGGAACAAAUAUGUAGUCCACCUGGUUGAUUGCUGGACCAACCCCACAGCUUCCCCACUUCAAAUAAAAGUGCUUCACCCUCUCCGUCAUAUUUUUGUAGUCCACUUCCAUGGCCAACGGGAUGAAGAAGGGAUCCAUGAAGUAGUACGUAGGCUCCCUGGGGUGGAUGCCCUCUGCAGCAAUUGCUUCCUCCCGAUCACGUAACAACCACUGCAUCAAAUUAUCAUAUAUACAUAAUUAAACAGAACUAUACAAAUACAAAUAUAAAUGAACGUACAACAUUGAACAAAGACAAAUACAGAGACAACAUGAACAGAAAUUGUACCAUGUAUGUGUAGAUGAUCCGAUCAUCUAACCAUCCACCGGGGGCCAGACUCUGCAUUGAGAUAGGGGCAAGCGUGAACAUAAGAUCAUGUCUUAUACCACCCUCGAGACCCACUGUCAUACCCCUCCCCCAUCCCCAGUCUCUCCGGAUAGUAUCCAUCUUCUCCUGUGUCAAUGUGCGGAGAUGCCUGAUAUAGCGUGGAUGGACAACAUUCCUACUACUAGUAGGAAAAAGGAUAGAGCCUACCACGAAGAACAUAUAGGCCUGUGUGUGAACAGCUAUACGCCUCGGAUCAGGACCUGGAUCAGCACUCCCAUAGGUCUCAAACAACCAAGUCAGCCUCACCCCUCCUCUAGUAAAGCCAUCCUUCACCUGCUGANAACGCCGGGGGCGUAUAUGCCGGGCCUCUAACCGUCUGCAUGAAUCGGCAGUACGGCUCAAUAAAUAUAGGAGCAAUCCUGCUGAACUCGUCAUGAUACUCUGGCGGUAUGGUAGAGUCCAUCCUCUGCAGGCAUUCCAGACCCUUCUGGAUCUGCAUAUAGUUUUAUGAUAUGCAAUCAAAAAAGUGACAAACUUGAAUACAAAUGAAAUGGGAGAUAAACUUGAAUACAAAUGAAAUGGGAGAUAAACUUACAAGCUGAUAGGCCUGGAAGUUGUCAAACAACUCCCGAGUAGAGUACUUAGGCUGCGGCACUGGCUCUGGCUUCCCGACUCGCAAUCGAGAAAUCUCCGUGUACCAAUGCAUGUAUCCGGUGUCAUCCACUGCGUGAGAACGGUGAGCCACUACAACCUCAGGAUGCUCCACGAAACGGGACCAGUCACCAAUCUCCGCAAACCAUAUGGCACGCCAAUCAAUGGGAUUCCAUGGCAGCUUAGGCUGCCUGUAGUCUGUCAUCGAAACUGGGGGUGGUGGGAUGCCCUGUGGCAGUCCAAACUGUCUCAACACUCGCUCGGGAUGCUGGUACUCCACAAUAUCAUAACAGAGCAAUGGUACCCUAGCUAGGCCAGCAAAAUGUGCCUCCCAAUCCUCAGCAGAAAUGUCAUGAUCCCCGUCUGAAUCCUCCUCUAUCUCGUGAAAAUGAGCAUAGGGCAUCCAACUAACUAUAUCGCCAGCAACUCCAUCAAACUCGCCUUUGUAAUGUGGCAAGCUAUGAUGAGGAGCCGCCGAACUAUCCCGCCUCCCCCGUUUCCUCUUGCCGCCCACAAUCCAACCCUCCUCGGUAUCCUCCUCCUCCACAGUCUCAUCCUCCUUUCCCUUCCCCUUCCCCUUCCCCUUCCCCUUACCCUUACCCUUCCCCUUUCCCUCCUCCUCCUCCUGACCCUUCCCCGUCUUACCCUUACUCCCCUUCCCCUUCAACUCCUCCUUCCCUUUACCCUUCCCCAUCCCCGUCUCCUUCCCCGUCUUCCCCUUCUUCCCCGUCUCCUUCCCCGUCUCCUUCCCCGUCUUCCCCUUUUUCCCCUUACCCUGGACCUCAACAACCUCCUCCUCUACCGGCUCCUCCAUGUACACAAUCUCAUCGGGCCUGGCCCAGAACUCAGCUGCCGGGUAACUAUCCCUGCUAGGAUCCGGGAUCGGUCUCCCGAUAUCAAACCUCUCGUAACUCCACAACAUCAACAACCAGACGCAGCAGGAGAUCUUCUUUGACCCCUUCUGUGCAGCUGUAGUCAGACCCCUGUACAGAUAUGAAAGGACUGCUGAUCCCCACGACCAUGUACGCACAUGGCUCAGUGUGCGAAGAUGCCUGAUAUAGCGUGGAUGGACAACAUUCCUACUACUAGUAGGAAAAAGGAUAGAGCCUACCACGAAGAACAUAUAGGCCUGUGUGUGAACAGCUAUACGCCUCGGAUCAGGACCUGGAUCAGCACUCCCAUAGGUCUCAAACAACCAAGUCAGCCUCACCCCUCCUCUAGUAAAGCCAUCCUUCACCUGCUGAGGAGUCAACUCCUCAAACCAUGCCCUCUCGAAAUAUGACUGGUUACCGUCAAUACCAUCUCCAACUAGUGGCCGACCCACAACAGGUAAUCCUAGUAUGUAGCCAACAUCCUCUAGAGUGACUGUCAUCUCCCCCUGCCUCAUGAAGAAGGUAUUGGUCUCGGGCCACCCCCUCUCCACUAAUGCACUAACAAGCCUUGUAUCAUUCUGAAGAACAAUCCUAGGGUUGGCAAACACGCCAAAGCCAACCAUAUGCAAAAUCUCCCUCUGCGCGUCUGAAAGAACCCAAUGCCUUAAGGACCGGUUACUAGACAUACACUCCAAAGGACCACGCUCGACUCCAUUCCAAACAUCUGAACUCACAUGGUACGAGUUAUCCACGAUAACUGCUCCACUAACAGGACCCGGCAAAAUAUCAUCCAUCCUGAAACACAAAUACCAAUCCACUUAGCAUACCAUCAAUUACUAACCGAAGCAUACCAUGAAUUGACAAUUUACAAUCUAUAAACUUAACAUACUAUCAAUACACUUAGCAUACCAUCAAUUACACUUAACAAAUACCAUCAAUUACACUUAGAAUACUAUCAAUUACACUUAACAAAUUCCAAUCCAACAAUCAAUAAACCACAAACCAACAAUAAUUUACGAUUGGUAGCAGAAGAUACCAUCAACUACACUUAGCAUACUAUCAAUAUCCAACAACAAUUAGCACUAAAAACAAACAAUUCUAACUAAAAUUUACUUUGAGGCAUUUUCACGAACACUUAGCAUACUAUGAAUUACACAUCAUCCAUAACAAUGCAUUUAUCAAAUCAAUACCCAACAAUCAAUUACACAUAAUCACUACAUCCAAUCCAAUCCAAUCCAAUCAAUUACACAUAUUCUCGAUUGCAAUACAUACAUACAAUCCGGAAAAAAACAAUUUAUAUACACAUACACGCGAGGAUAUAUAUACACGCACCUUAAGAAUCGUGUUCUUGAAGCUUGGGAGGUUUGUGUAAUCGCUUUCUUGCAGUUGUGAGAGGGUGAGAGGGUUUGUAAAAUCGGGUGCCAUAGCAGUUUUUGUGUUUGUGUUUGAAUAUAACUGUCACUGAUCAUAUACAUGCGUUUGCGCGUUUUAAACCAUUCUGGAAUGUCCGCGGUUUUUUACCGCGGAAAGGGGGAGUGUCCGCGCAAAAAAGCGCGGAUAGACACAGUGUCCGCGGUUUUUAAGCGCGGAUAGGAAAAAAUGUUUUCUUUUGCCACAGCCGUUGGAUCGAUGAUCCAACGGCUGUGGCACCAUGUGUCAAAUAACCGUUCCCUGACAACCACAUGUCAGGGAACAGGACCCAAAACAAAAUUAGUUAAGGAUAUCUGUUGAAAUGUCUUGUUUUUUAUUUAAAUCUAUGUUAACGGAUUUGACACUUUAAAAUUUAUUUGAAUUUCGUGUAUGUGCAGAUGGUAUGCCAUUGUUGCACAAGUGCCUAGUAGGACGGAUAAUGACAUAAAAAACUACUGGCAUGUCCAUCUGGAAAAGAAGCUUGGUGAAGUUAAUAGUUGUGGUGUUGAAGGAACACAAAAUUUUGAAGACUUUAAACGUUAUGAUGAUAUUGCUACUAUUGAGUAUACAGAGAACAUGGGAACGUGCAAACUUGGCGACAACGCUGGACCAUGUUGGUAAAUCAUUGACCUCUAUUGAUCUGUUUUUGUUAAAGGCGUUUUGGCAUAAUUUUUGAAACUAACUUCAUGUUUUUCUAUUAGUUCACCAUCUCCUUACUUUAAAGAUAGUAUGGUUUCUUUCCUUGGUACACAAACCUAUUGAUUUUAUAGUGAAUUUCAUAGUUUCUGUGGUGCACAGUGCAUAAGCUUUUAGUCUUUUGGCUGUCCGAGUCAAGAUAGGUUGCUUCCCGUAAUAUGUAUUUGUUUUCCACUUAAAGCAGAGUCAGUGCUCUCCUGCAUUUCCACUUCUCCGAAUCAACCAGGACUAAUGGUGGUUUUAUCUAGGGUAGCAUACAAGUACAAGAAAUCAAAGUGGCCUGCUUUUCUUUGAGCAGUAGAACAUGACAUCAUCCGCUUUCCCUAGUUAUAAGGAACGGCAAUCCUUAUGGAGGAUUGAUUUAGAGAUCACAGUGGUUCUGAAUGGUUAGAAGUGAAUGAGGUGAUUGUAAGAGUUGCUACAAUGGUAGCCUUUGUCAUGCAAUUUCGCCUUCUUAGGUAAGACGACCGCAUAGAUUAUCACCCAGCCAGGGACACCAGUAAGUAUUCCCGUGUACUAUAUACACACACACUUUUAUAUAGGUCUGGUUUUUUAUUCAAAAUAUAAAUAAAUAAAUAUAUUCGAGAUACCAAAUAAAUUCAAAAAUAUAUUAAAUUUAUUUCAGAUUUAUUUUUAAAAGUCAACUGAAAAUGCUAAAACUGGGCUUGUUGAGAAUGAUGCGCCAAAGGUUGAGCAAGAAGGUCGAAAAAGAUAGUAUAAAAAUUAUUAGAGAUCAUUCUCCAAAAAAUUUAAGUGACAAACAUUUUUCUAAAUAUGGGAUAACUUUUUUGAAAUCUAAAUCAGCCUUCAAUCAGCCUGGACUGCACGACAUGCUGGCUAGAGUACUCAACCGGACAUACCAGUUAAGAUAAAGACUUUAUUGGUUUUAUUAUUUAAAUCUAAAUCUAGUCAAAACAUAAAUAGGUACACUUUAAUAUUAAAUUGACUUUUCACUUUUCAUUACAAAACUCAUUUCAUUUAUUUAUAUAUUUUGUCACAAACCGAGCACUAAACUGAAGUCAACAGAAACUAUCAACUGCUUGUUCCCAGGCCACAAGGGAAUACUUCCAGGUUGCGUUGGCAGUUGGAUCAGACGACUUUUUAUAUAAAAAAAAUUACAUAUUAUAUAAAUAAAAAAAACUAAAAAGUGUUAUAUUGUUUUAAGUCACUAUGAAUAAGAUAUAUUAUUUUAUUUUGAUAAUAGAUAAUGUUGAAUUUUGUAACACGGCCACGUCCAUAACUUCGACAAUUAUAACCAGUGGCGGAACCAGAGUUUAUAAUCAGAGAGGGCCAUUUUUACCCAUAAUAAAGGCCGGAAUAUGCUGGAAAAAGGUUAAAAAAAAGUUAAAAAAAUGGCUUCACAGAGAAUUGAACAUUGGUCUUUGGAUUGCUACACCCCAUCUUCUACCACUUGAUCUACAUAAAACAUGUGAUUAUAGAUUAUAUAACAUGUAUUUAUAGAAAUGUCGGGGGCCCAGGCAGGUCCUAGGCCCAACGUGGCUCCGCCACUGAUUAUAACUAUGUUAAAUUUUUUAGACUUGAUCGAAGAGAAGAAUAUCUUCUAUAUUGCCUUUAAUUUUUAUUUUGUGAUAAAAUUUAUUCAAUUUUAACUAAGAUUGUUAGAGAACGGCAAGAUAGAGACAAAAUUAACGUGGUACGUAAUUAAAAUAAUUCUUCACCAAAAAAUAUACAAUGGGCUCUAAAAUAUAAUUGGAAGAUUCCAUUUAGCGAGUAAAUAUGGUACAACUUGGCAUGCCAGCUGCCUCGCCCAAGCAACUGGUACAAGACUAUGAGUUGACCUGUUACAUCCAUGCAAGCCAAACUAUUUGUAACUAAACACUUCAGUUCUUGAAACAUUCACUCUUCAAGGUGAAAAUUUUCAUAAUAUCCUGCUUUGUUAUAAAUAAUGUUGAGUUCUGGCCAAUCUACAUGGCCUCAUAUUCUUGUCUUGUUGAUUCUGUACAAGUUCACAAUUUCAGCAAGUAAAUCAGUCUCUUACACCAAACACUGUGCUUCUGUUGUCCCUGCGGCAACUCCAACAACUUAUGAUACAAAUGUCCCCUUUUCUGAACUGGAUACCUUAAAUUCUUUUGUGCCAGAGCCUCGAAGAAUCUUCCGCCAGAAUUCUUCUGUAACUUCUCUCAAUUUUCGCUCAGUAGGACGUAUCUAUGAAACAGAUCUUAAAGGUGUUUACAAGAUUGAUGCUGAGUUGAGAAUACGGGUUUAUAAUUAUAUUGAUGAUACUUAUGAUUUUGUGAGCACUUCAACUCAGGGAAGAUCAUCUCGACGUCCUAGGAGGUUUGAACGGUUGAUAUUCUUGAUACAUGGAUUCUGGUCAGAGUCUUCUGGGAAAGGCUGCUUAGUGGGAUCUGCUCCUUGGUACUCAAGUAAAGGUGAGCAUAUCACUCUUGAAGCUAUGUUUAAGAUAAAUUUUUCUAUGAGUUCAACAUAUUCUAACAGUUUUGUAACUGGGGAAUUCGAAAGCUUGAGUCAUUUGAAUGAUGAUAGUUACUUUAAUCCGAUUUCAGUAUAUUCUGUUCCUGAAGUAACUUGGUAUGAGUAUAAGUUAAUAUCUGAGGAAACUGUGAAAGAAUACUAUGUAUUUCAUAAUGCUGAAAGUUCAGUUCCUGGUUCAAAACUUGGAAAGAUAUGUUCGUUUUUCAACAAAAUGCAUCUCUCUGAUUUUUCUCUGGAGUAUGCGCGCAGUUGCAACAGUUCUUUAAGGAAAUGUUCUCUGCUUGACGGAGUAGAUAAAUAUUCGCCUGGUUAUGUUUCCUUGUAUAUCAUUCAAUGCAAUGAAUACAGAAAGAUGAUGCGCAUUUUGGUACGCCUUCCGACCCCGGGCUAUGAUGAGAGGUAUGAUAUGUUGGAUCCCAACACAACAUUAGUUGGGGAAGGAUUGUGGGAUGAGAAAACGAAUUCUCUAGUCAUCGUUGCUUGCAGGACUUCAAGUUCCAGUUCUUCCGGAGAUGCUCAUCUUGGGGAUUGUUCAUUUCGGUUAAGCCUGUAUUACCCUUCAGUAUGGUCAAUUAAAACCAGGGACAAAGUUGUGGGACGGAUUUGGACAAAUAAGACUGCACAAGAUGUAGGGUACUUCGACCCGAUCAAUUUCAGGAAUUCUGUUGGAUUCAUAAAAGUGCCUGGUUUUAAGUAUGAAUACACUGAAAUUGAGAAGGUAUAUAAGCUAUGCCCAAAGAAGGCUCUUACAAGGGGAGAGAGAUACCCAAGUGGAGAGUUCUAUGAUAUGAGGUUUGACAUGUCUUUGCAAGACUCAGAGUAUAUUGGUGGGGCUUCUGCAAAACCGAUCUUCAUAGGCAAUAAAUCGUAUCUGGAUUAUUCUGUUUUUAGAACAAACUCAAGACAGGGAGGUAAUGGAGAAAAUGUAAAAUCCGAAGUGGAGUUUGAAAAUGUUGUUUCGGAUAAUGUUCAAUUGAAUGUUAGUUACAAAUUGGGGAUUUCAUUAAUGAGUGGUGUCAAAUCGGGAUCUGGCCGUCAUUCUAUACUGCAUACAUCCUUCAGACCACACGGUUAUAUAAUUAUAUCUGCUGAAGGAGUUUAUGAUUCUGGAACAGGAUCCCUUUGUAUGACAGGCUGUAGAAAUCUGGCCUUUCGCAAUUUUCAGGACUGUGAUAUAGUCCUGCAUUUCCACUUCCCCGGAUCAACCAGGGCUAAAGGUGGUUUUAUGAAGGGUAGCAUACAAAGCACAAGGAAUCAAAGUGACCCGCUUUUCUUUGAGCAGUUGAACAUGACAUCAUCCGCCUCCACCAGUUCUGAGGAACGGCAAUCCUUAUGGAGGAUUGAUUUAGAGAUCACAAUGGUUUUGAUCUGUAACAUGAAUGCAUGUAUACUUGUUUGUUUUCAGCUUUACCAUAUGAAAAGGUAUCCUAGUACCGUUCCUCAUAUGUCACUUGUUAUGCUUGUGAUACUUGCAUUGGGGCACCUGAUCCCUCUCGUCCUAAACUUUGAAGCACUGUCCAUGGCACCGCAAAAUACACAAACUAUAAAGCUAGGUAGAUUUGAAUGGCUAGAAGUGAAUGAGGUGAUUGUAAGAGUUGCUACAAUGGUAGCCUUCAUCAUGCAAUUCCGUCUCCUUCAAUUAGCCUGGACUGCACGACAUGCUGGCCAGAGUACUGAUCCGGACAUAUCAGUUGCUGAGAUAAAGACUUUACUAGUUUUGUUGCCAAUAUACAUAGUUGGUGGGAUGGAUGCAUAUCUUUUGAAAUGGGAGAAGUUUAACUAUAGCAAGUCAUCGCGUGCACUUAACUAUUCACGAGUUCAGUACCAACAAUAUACUCUCUGGGGAUAUUUGAGAUCAUAUGCUACCCUGAUACUUGAUGGCUUUCUCUUUCCCCAAGUAAUUCUCAAUUUAUUCCAGAUGUCAAGGCAAAGUGCUCUGUCUAUGCCGUUUAUCCUAGGAACGACAUUGGUUCAUUCAGUUCCUCAUGCCUACCACCUUUAUGUCAACAACUAUGUGUACGCAAAUCCUAGUGCAGAUUUUUAUUCUGCCGCUUGGGAUACCAUCAUUCCACUGGCAAGUUUUUUGCUCGUUGCGGUCAUAUAUUUGCAGCAAAGGUAUGGUGGCCUUGUUAUUCUUCCUACGAAAUUCAGGGACUUGGAAUUAUAUGCAAAAGUGCCUGAAGCUUAAUGGCAAUAUUGUUGCUUCUCUGGUUUAGUAAUUUCUGUAAUGUAUUGUUGCCGUUUGCGGGCUUCUGUAUAUUUAACAAGAACUUCUUGUCCUCUCUGAAUAUUGUUUGUUUCUUAAAAUUGGAAUUAUGAUUGCUUUUCUGUUUUGAUUACCAGGCAAGAGCUCUCUUUUUAUGCAGAAUGCGUUUACAGACAGUUUAGUUUGGUCUUAAAUUUUAGCUUAGAUAAGAGGUUUGUCUUGUGGCAUGUGUUGAUGUUUCCUGCUACUUGAACUUUUGAAAAACUGUUACUCCUACUGGGCACUGGCUCAACUUUUCUUCACCCCCAACGGCAUCUCCAACUUUUAGAAUUUUUAACUAAAAAUAAUUAAUACUGAUUAUAAAUAAAAUUUAUAGAGACAUGUAAAAGAAUUUCAAUUUUAAGACAUUGAUAUCUCUAAUUUUAGCCAAAAUCAACAUCUAAAGAGGCAAAAUUUCAUAUCAUCUAUUAUGUUACUAAAAUAAUGUAUGUUAUUUUCAUAAUAAUUUGAAAUGAUAAUUAUAUUAUUUUAAAAUAGUCAUUUAAUAUCAUGAAAGCGGUGUUAUAGAAAUUGGGAGAUGUAAUCGGUUAAGUUACUAAUUUAGGAUUAAUCGUAAUCGAGAAUUAAUCGGGUGAAAAUCAAAUAAGUUUUUAUUAAUUUUUUUUAAUAUUUAGUUAUCAUUAUAUUAGUUAUUUAUUGAAAAAUAUAUUUACUAUAUCAUAAAUUCUAUAAUUGCUCGUAUUUAAAAUGAUAUAGUAUUUUAUUUUUAAUAAAUUAUUAUAUAUUUUUUGAUUAAAAAAAUUGUAAAAAUAAAUCGGAUUUCAAAAACUAAAUUGAUCUGUAAUAUUAUACAAAAAGUAAUCAAUUAAAUUGGAAAUUUUUAAUACACUGCGGGAAAGUAAAAUGUUUUACACGUCUUCAAAUUUUAAGCAAUCCAAUUCAGUCAAACGCUCUAUCCAAAUGGAAUGAUCUGAAUGUGAUGGAAGGUAAUAAUUCAGAAUUUGAGACAUUAAUAUUUUAAAUUUGAGACAUCAAUAUUUUAAAUUGUAAUAAUGAAAGCCAACAAUUGAGUUUUGAAGGAUUUUAACACAUCUUUUGUUAAAAUCUUGUAGGCUUUUGAGAGAUUUCCAACAUUGUAAAAUACACUAGUAAAACCAUCAGAAUUCACUAUUAUAAAAUUAAAAAAAAUCUUUUUUUCUAAACAUCAUCAAUUUUAUAAUAUUUAAAAUUCUAAUAUGAUAUCUCAAGAUUUUAGAAAAUUAUUUCUUAUUUUUGUCCAAUAUCAUAGUAGUAUAAUCAACUUUUUCGGUACUAGUUGAAUAAUUAUGGAGAAUUUGUUUGCAUGAACUAUACUUUUUAAAGAAAAAUGUAUCUUUCACAAAAUUUCAAUUUUUUUAAAAGAUUUCCAAAAUUACAAGGGACACUAGUAAGUUCAUCAGAAAUUUUUUAUUAUAAAAUAUUUAGAAAAUAUAUCUACAUAUCACCGGUUUAUAAAAAUAUUUAAAUUUUUAAUUCAAUAUCUCGAAAUUUAAAAGAUAAUUUACGAUUCUUAUUAUCAAACUUUUAGGUGGUGUGUUCGACUAAGAUUUAAUGGAUUGUAUUUAAUUUUUUGAUUUUAAUGAAUUGUAUGUGAUUUUGAUUUUAUGCAGGUUCUUGAUAAAAUGUCGUAGAGUUGAUGUAGAUUUUUCAAGAUUUAAGCACAAUAUUUUAAAAUCUCAUCAAUUUUGUUGGGAUUUUAAAAAUUUUAAGAUACACUGAAAAAUACCAAAAAAUCAAUCAUUUUAUAAAAUCCAAAAAAUCCAUCAUCAUUUGAAACAAUCCAAUCGAACAACAUUGAAUUUUUGAACAUAAUUUAAUAUUCUGAUUGAAUAUCACCAUAUUUCAUCACAUGAUAUAAAACCUCAAUUGAAUAAUUCAAGAUUUUAAUAAAUUUUAAAUAAUCUCAAUUAAUACGUUCAAAAUUUGUGAAUGAAGAAAUCUUAUAAAAUCUCAAUUGAAUAUAGUGUCUUGUUUGAAUUGAAUAUUCAAUUGAAACAUCGGAUUUUUAAAGAUAAUUUAAUAUCCUAAUUGAAUAUCACCAGAUUUCAUCACAUGAUAUAAAAUCUCAACUGAAUAUCUCAAGAUUUUAAUAAAUUUCAAACAAUCUCAAUUAAUACUCCCUCCGUCCCUUUUUACUUGUCACCUUUGUUAUUGUGCCGGUCAAAUUGAUCAAAAUUUGAUUGAAAUUUAUUAAUAUUUUAUCAAUUAAAAAAAGUUAAAAAAUAUGUAAUCGGAAAUAACUUUUAAUCUACUUUAAGAUGUAAUUUUCAAUUUUUUAAAAUAAUAAAAGAGUGACUUAUAAUUUUUGAUUAAAAAUUAGUUAAUUUGACAAACAAAAAUAAAAAUAUGACACUAAAAAAAUACAAUAACUAUAUUCAAAUCUCUUAGAAUGAAAAAUAUCUUUUAAAAUCUCAAUUGAAUAUUGAAUAUAACGUCUUGUUUGAAUUGAAUAUUCCUUCAUACGAAUUGAGAAUUGAAUGCAGCCCACAAUCACAUCACAUAUAUAUAUUUGUAUUAUUUCAAUCGCUGUGUUCUUGUGUCUCCUCUCCUUAAAAAACUAAAAUGGCGAUACAACUUACAGGAUUGCAAACAAGUCACGGCAGAGUCACGGUUCUAGUUUGAUCUAAGAUAUUACAAUUUAGUGUUAAUCGGUAAGAAGUUAUCAAUUAAUCUCUUUAAGUUCGCUGUUUACACCUCUUUGCCUCUUUAUUUUUCCUUCAGGAUUAGGGCUUUUACGAUUCAUAAAAUUGAUUGUUGUAAACUGGGUUCCUAAAUUCAGGUCUUAAAUACAAGGUGGAAGGCUAUAUUCUUUGAUAUUUAUACAUCAUAAUUCAGAAUUGUGCUUCCUCAGAGAUCAACGAUUUACUCCUGAGACUCCUAAGGCUUGAGGUAUGUAUACAUAUUUACUCAAUAAUUAACCCUCCGUUAACUGCCUAAUUGUGCUUAAUUGUCAGAGUGUAUUACUUAACUGUUUUGGAGUUAAAAUCUUAUACCCAUGGACUCUGAUUAAAUAUGUUUCAGAUGUGGUGAAACCGAAACACACUCUCCGUUCUUUCUUUAAAAGUAUAUCAGAACCUUAUAUAACUGAAGUAGGCACUAAUCAAAGUGAAACUUCUGUGUGUUGGUUGGGGUGAAUGAAAAUGAAAGGAAUGUAAUGAAAUUUGAAUUACAAUUUUGUUGAAUGUUUAAUAAUUUCAUUCCUUUCACUAUUCCAUUCCUAUUAUCCUUAACUAGAGCUCAAACCCUCCACUUUGUGAAGGAAUGUAAUAUUCUUUAUCAUACCUAUUUUCUACUCAAAUCUCAUUUAACAAAAUUUGCAUUCACUCCUUAUUCAAAGGCCUACUAUGACAAGAUGUAUAAAAAUGGAAUAGCAGGGAAUUUAAUAACUACUCCAUAUCGGGAGAAUUCAAUCGUUUAUAUGAAUGAAAAAGGAAAUUCAAUAAAUCCUCCUCCAUGGAAUCAGUUGAAUGAAAGUAUUUACGAUAACAUUGGAAUCCUGACCAUGAAAGAAAUUGAUAAAUUGGUGUUUGAAGAUCUCUUAAAUUGGUGUUUGAAGAUCUUCAAGCCUAGUAGGAUCCUCAUGCAACAAUUUAUCAAUUUCUUCUAUGGUCGGGAUUCCAGUGUCAUCUUAAAUGCUUUCAUUCAAUUGUUUUGUUGGAAGAAGAGUUAUUGAAUUCCUCCUCGUUUCAUUCAUAUACACGUCUGUCUUCUCCCAACUGUUCUGUGAAGUAGUUAUCGAAUUUCUUACUAUUGCAUUCUUAUACAUUUUGUCACAGGACUUAAUCUAGUCUAAUCCACCAACAGUAGCGACAUCGUCGUAAUGAUUAUUGCCUUCAUAGUUCAUUGUUCCUUCAGCACCACAACUAUUAACUUUACCAAGCUUUUUCUUCAGAUGGACAUACUAGUAGUUUUUAAUGUCAUCAUGAGUUCUACCAGGCAGGUGUGCAGCAAUGGCAGCUUAUCUAAACAUACACGAAAUCUAUUUAAAGUCCUCCCUCCUACCCCCUAUUAUUUCCUUUUAUUUUCACACAUUCCAUUCACCCCCUACCAAACACAACAUUGAAUGCUUUGUAGCCUAUUGUUGAGCCUGUUGAACCUAAACUAAUAUUUUUUAUAGUAAUAGUUUUAGAAUAAUGAAUACAUCUAAAUAAGUUUUCAAAUAUCUCUUUUAGCAAUUAGCAACUUUAUGUAUACAUAUUUACUCAAUACUUAACCCUCCGUUAACUGCCUAAUUGUGCUUAAUUGUCAGAGUGUAUCACUUAACUGUUUUGGAGUUAAAAUCUUAUACCCAUGGACUCUGAUUAAAUAUGUUUCAGAUGUGGUGAAACCGAAACACACUCUCUGUUCUUUCUUUAAAAGUGUAUUAGAACCUUAUAUAACUGAAAGGCACUAAUCAAAGUGAAACUUCUGUGUGUUGGUUGGUGUGAAUGAAAAUGAAAGGAAUGGAAUGAAAUUUGAAUUACAAAUUUGUUGAAUGUUUAAUAAUUUCAUUCAUUUGACUAUUCCAUUCUUAUUAUCCUUAACUAGAGCUCAAACCCUCCACUUUGUGAAGGAAUGUAAUAUUCCUUAUUAUACCUAUUUUCUACCCAAAUCUCAUUUAACAAAAUUUGCAUUUACUCCUUAUUCAAAGUCCUCCCUCCUACCCCCUAUUAUUUCCUUUUAUUUUCAUUCAUUCCAUUCACCCCCUACCAAACACAACAUUGAAUCCUUUCUAGCGUAUUUGAGAUUGUAUCAUUAAACACAUAGGCCAAUACAUUAUUCUUUUAAUUGUCCUAUUUAAAAGACCAAGACAAAUGAGUAAAUUAAUAAAAGUGUUGUUAACGGUUGCCAUUGAGAGUUUGAUGGCGGAUAAUUAUCUUAUCUUCCUCGGGGGUAAAAUUUCACCGAUAUCAGGGUUAAGAUGAUUCACCUACCUUAAUCUACAACUCUUACCAUUCCUAUGCAACCCUGUUAAAUUACAAAAUUAAUCAGGAUAUAUAACCAAAUACAAACUCGCUAAAAUGAGACAUAAAUUAAUAGCAUAGUUUAACAAAAAAAAAGUACAUAUAUACCAGCAAGUUUAGGAAGGGUUGUCUAAUUGCAUGUAUCAUGUUUUUGGACGUAAGAUACCAAUUUACUAUCUUCUUCAGAAGUCCAUGCUUCUUUCGUUUUUGCUUUUAUUUUCUCAGCCGACCUCCUUAUCUCUCUUUCUCUUUAUCAUUGACUAUAUAUAUGUAAGAGAUAAUGAGGUCAGAGAAUGAAAGAGACAAAGGAGCAUGGACUUUUGAACAAGAUAGCAAGUUGGUGUCUUAAGUCCAAAAACAUGGUACAUGCAAUUGGACAUUCGUUCCUAAAAGUAGUGGUAUAUAACUGUUUUUUUUGCUAUAAUGUGUUAUUAAUUUAUGUCUCAUUUCGGAUGAGUUUGUAUUUGGUUACAUAUCCUGAUUAGUUUCAUAAUUUAUUAGCGUUGCAUAGGAAUGGUAACAGCUAUAGAUUAAGGUGGAUGAAUCAUCUCAGCCCUGAUUUGAAAGGGGAAAUUUUACUACUGACGAAGAUCAGAUAAUUAUCCGUCAUCAAGCUCUUAAUGGCAACCGGUACUGGCUCUUUUAUUUAUUCAUUUCUCUUGGCCUCUUAAAUAGGACAAUGAAAAUAAGAAUUUAUUAGCGUACGUGUUUAAUAUACAAUUUUAAAGCCGCUUAUUCGUAAAAGCAAUUGCCUUCUCCUGAUUAUUCUGUUGAGUAGUUAUCGAAUUCACUACUAUUACAUUCUUACACAUCUUGUCAUAGUAGGCUUUUAUGUAGUCUAAUCCACCAAUAGUAGCAACAUCGUCAUAAUGUUUAUAGUCUUCAAAAUUCUGUUUUCCUUCAACACCACGACUGUUAACUUUACCAAGCUUCUUCUUCAGAUGGACAUGCCAGUAGUUUUUAAUGUCAUUAUCCGUCCUACCAGGCAUGUGUGCUGCAAUGGCAGCCCAUCUACACUUACACGAAAUUUAAAUAAAAUUUAAAGUGUCAAAUGCAUUAACAUAGUAACAUAAAUAUUAUUAAAGAACAAAACAUUUCAAUUGAAAUCCUUAACUGAUAUUUUUUAUAGCAAUACUUUUAGAGUAGUUAAUACUUGUAAAUAGUAAUAAAAUCUUGUUUGACAUUUUUAUUAGCGGUUUUGAGAUUGUAUCAUUAGACACAUAGGCCAAUACAUUAUUCUUUUAAUAGUCCUAUUUAAAAGACCAAGACAAAUGAGUAAAUAAAAGUGCUGUUACCGGUUGCCAUUGAGAGUUUGAUGACGGACAAUAUCUUAUCUUCCUCGGGGGUAAAAUAUCACCGAUAUCAGGGCUAAGAUGAUUCACCUACCUUAGUCUACAACUCUUACCAUUCCUAUGCAACCCUGUUAAAUUACAAAACUAAUCUGGAUAUAUAACCAAAUACAAACCCGCUAAAAUGAGACAUAAAUUAAUAGCACAGUUUAACAAAAAAGGAGUCCAUAUAUACCAGCAAGUUUAGGAAGGUUUGUGUAAUUGCAUGUAUCAUGUUUUUGGACGUAAGAUACCAACUUACUAUCUUCUUCAGAAUUCCAUGCUCCUUUUGUUUUUUCUUAUAUUUUCUCAGCCGACCUCCUUAUCUCUGACUAUAUAUAUGUAAGAGAUAUUAAAGAAUUGUUUAAAUGAGUUGCAUACAGAGUUGAUAUUUAUAGAUAUAAACCAACUAUUUAUACUUAUUCGUACAAAAGUAAAUAUUUUUUUGCCCCGGGCGCAAAUAUUAUUUAAUAAUUCUGGAUUUUUAUUCCUUCGCCCAGACACAUUAAAACAAUAUUAUAUUCAAAUUUAUUGAUUUUUCUAGUACAAACUAAAGUUUUUCUCUUGUCAGAUGAACAUACUCGAAUGGUACAUUACUCGUACAAGAAUAUACUCCAUAGAGAGGAAUUACUUUCUCGUACAAGAAUAUAUUCUGUAAAGAGGAAUUUCUUUCUCGUACAAGAAUAUAUUCCAUAAAGAGGAAUUUCUUUCAUUCAAGAAUCUGUCGAGUAUGUACACUUGACAAGGAAAAACUUUGGUUUGUCAUAGAAAAAUCAAUUAAUUUGAAUAUAAUAUUGUUCCCAUAUGUCUAGGGCCAAGGAAUAAAAAUUCGUAAAUAUUAAAUAAUAUAUGGGCCCGAGGGAAAAGAAUCUCUACUUUUGUAAGAAUAGGUAAAAUAGUUGGUUUAUAUAUGUAAAUACCAACUCAAUGUGCAACUCAUUUCUGUAGUUUUUUCUUAUCUCUUGCAUAUACAUAGUCGAAAUGGAGAAAGAGAGAUAAUGAGGUCAGCUGAGAGAAUGAAAGUGGCAAAGGAGCAUGGACUUUUGAAGAAGAUAGCAAGUUGGUGUCUUAAGUCCAAGAACAUGGUACAUGCAAUUGGACAGUCGUUCCUAAAAUUGCUGGUAUAUAACUUUUUUGUUUUGCUAUAAUGUGCUAUUAAUUCAUGUCUCAUUUCGGAUGAGUUUGUAUUUGGUUACAUAUCCAGAUUAGUUUCGUAAUUUAUUAGGGUUGCUUAGGAAUGGUAACAGUUGUAGAGUAGGGUGGAUGAAUCAUCUUAGCCCUGAUUUGAAAGGGGAAAUUUUACUACUGACGAAAAUCAGAUAAUUAUCCGUCAUCAAGCUCUCUCUAUGGCAACUGAUACUGGCUCUUUUAUUUACUCAUUUCUCUUGGCCUCUUAAAUAGGACAAUGAAAAGAAGAAUUCAUUAGCGUACGUGUUUCGUAUACAAUCUUAAAGUCGCUAAUUCGUAAAAACAUUUGCCUUCUCCUGAUUAUUCAGUUGAGUAGUUAUCGAAUUCACUACUAUUACAUUCUUACACAUCUUGUCAUAGUAGGCCUUUAUGUAGUCUAAUCCCCCAAUAGUAGCAACAUCGUCAAAAUGUUUAUAGUCUUCAAAAUUCUGUUUUCCUUCAACACCACAACUGUUAAUUUUUUAGGUUGAAGAUUUCCUGGAAAUGUUUUUUUUAAAAAUUUAAAUCUAUGUUACUAUGUUAAUGGAUUUGACACUUUAAAAUUUAUUCAGACUUCGUGUAUGUGCAGAUGGGCUACUAUUGUUGCACACCUGCUUGGUAGGACAGAUAAUAACAUUAAAAACUACUGGCAUGUCCCCAAAACUGACAUAUAUAAGGGGACAAUGUUCUGUACUUCAUUGGUUUCCAAGUCUUGAAAAUAGACUGAUCAAAUGAUCAAGGUUACUGUGUACUUAUAAUGAAUAAAUAUACUUGAGUCCUGCUUAGUCAAACAUAUAUGAGAUUUUGUGCUUUUGUGUAUCUUAAGUCAUAUAUAGUUUUACCGCAAGCUUAGCAUACCCGAAAGAAAGGUGAAAUCUUGUUACUUGAUGUAAUUACAGUUUUGAGACUUCCUCCAAGACACAUCAGCAUUACAUAUGAUACUGAAUUUAAGUUACAGCUGG